CGGUCGACCCGACGCCCGCCCGCCGCCGUGCCCGAUUAGUUACCAGAGCUAGAUUAGCCUAGCCCGUCCAUCCCCCGUCCCCUGCUUUUGCCUGGUCCUGUUGCUUCUUUCUUGGGUUUCUUGCUGUGCCGUUGGUGUCUGGUUGCUUUGGCAUUGGCAGGCACGCUGUUGACUCCUGGUGUGCAAACGGAUUAUUAGCCAAUUAGGAGUAGCAGUAGAUGAUUCACGCUUUGGUGUCGAUCUACCUUUGCAUUUCCUGUGUACAUAAAACCACCUGUCAUUUUCUUUUGUCGUAAGAUGAGAAAAAGGAUGAUGGAAGCCUGGGUUCAGUUUGCUUCGUACACGCAGUUGCAUCUCAAGUAUUUUCUGUGAACAUAUCUUGAGAUAUAUCUUCAUGAUUACUUAAAAGAGGAACGGGUGGUUAAUUGAUGGAGGGCUGGGGAAGGUUGUUGUUUUGGGUGCGAAACCGGACGCGUGUAGACCGCGGACUCGGCCGUCGAGCGGCGGGCGACGAAGCGCUGACCGCGGAGCACCCUCGCGCUACGAACGAGUCUGAGCCGUGUUAAACUCGGUCGCUGCCGCGCUCAGCUCAGCCUGCGCCACCCUGUCGUCAUGUUCAGCGGUAAUUCAUUUUCUCUCUCGUACAAAUACCCCAAAACCUGGAACCAACAAAAUUUAAAGACAUGUGAACUUGCUGAAUUGCAAGAGCAUCUACAACCGGAAGUAUCAAAAUCCCCAAAAUGACCGUGGACACACCCCGGACAUGUUCAUGGACAGCGACCGGACUACACACAAAAAUUAUCCGCUACAUUCAUGAACCUCAAACUUUAUACCUCAAGUCAUGCCGCGUAUACAUCUUAAACUAUUUAUAGUCAUGCAGAUCGAAAACCUAUGUACUACGUACAUAUCUUAAACUACUUAUCGUCGGAGAUGUCGCCGAUCCUCGUGCCCGGCUCGGGUAGACGGGCAACUGCAGCAGCUCCGGCUCGUCGUCGUCUGAAAUAGAGGCGAAGAGCUCAUUGAUCUCCGCCAUUUGCUGCCGGAUGAAGUGUCAGUUGGCCUCCACAUAGGGCUCAUCCUGGAUGGACUCGCGGAUGGCCAAUUGCUCCACCAUCUUCGUCUCUUGCAUGACCUCGUACUCCGCCAUGGCGUCCUCCACGGCGAAGCUUGCAACCGGCUCCGCCUCCUCCAUGGGUUUGGGCUCCGCUUUUGACGGAUGCUUCCCUCCUCCACCACCUCCUCCUCCGGCUACUGCUCCCCCUCCUCCUCUGUCUGCUCCUCCUCAUCCUCCUUUGGCUCCGGCGAAUCCGGAGGCAGGCCGACGGCGAAACGAGCAACGGGUCUGGCCCGGAUCUCCUCCAACAACUGCAGUCGUCACUCCGGAGUGAGCAUGGUGUAGGUGAUGAUCCUGUUGGGGAACGCAGUAAUUUCAAAAAAAAUCCUACGCACACGCAAGAUCAUGGCGAUGCAUAGCAACGAGAGGGGAGAGUGUAGUCCACGUACCCUCGUAGACCGUAAGCGGAAGCGUUAUGACAACGCGGUUGAUGUAGUUGUACGUCUUCACGAUCCGACCGAUCCUAGUACCGAAAGUACGUCACCUCCGCGAUCUGCACACGUUCGGCUCGGUGACGUUUCACGAACUCUCGAUCCAGCUGAGUGUCGAGGGAGAGCUUCGUCAGCACGACGGCGACGAUGAAGCUACCGGCGCAGGGCUUCGCCUAAGCACUGCAACGAUAUGACCGAGGUGGAUUAUGGUGGAGGGGGGCACCACACACGGCUAAGAGAUCAAUGAUCAACUUGUGUGUCUAUGGGGUGCCCCCCCUCCCCCGUAUAUAAAGGAGUGGAGGAGGGGGGAGGGCCGGCCCUCUAUGGCGCGCCCUGGAGGAGUCCUACUCCCCCGGGAGUAGGAUUCCCCCCCUUCCCUAGUUGGACUAGGAGAGAAGGUAGGGGGGAGAGGGAGGAAGGAAAGGGGGGCGCCGCCACCCCCCCCUUCCUAGUCCAAUUCGGACCAGAGGGGGAGGGGGCGCGCGGCCUGGCUGCCCCUCUCUCUCCACUAAAGCCCAUUAGGGCCCAUAUACUCCCCGGUGGGUUCCGGUAACCUCCCGGUACUCCGGUAUAUGCCCGAACUCUCUCGAAACCUUUCCGAUGUCCAAACAUAGUCAUCCAAUAUAUCGAUCUUUAUGUCUCGACCAUUUCGAGACUCCUCGUCAUGUCUGUGAUCACAUCCGGGACUCUGAACAACCUUCGGUACAUCAAAACACAUAAACUCAUAAUACCGAUCGUCACAAAACGUUAAGCGUGCGGACCCUACGGAUUCGAGAACUAUGUAGACAUGACCGAGACUCAUCUCCGGUCAAUAACCAAUAGCGGAACCUGGAUGCUCAUAUUGGUUCCUACAUAUUCUACGAAGAUCUUUAUCGGUCAAACCGCAUAACAACAUACGUUGUUCCCUUUGUCAUCGGUAUGUUACUUGCCCGAGAUUCGAUCGAUCAUCGGUAUGUUACUUGCCCGAGAUUCCGUAAUACAUCAUCUCGUAACUAACUCAUUAGUCACAUUUCUUGCAAGGCUUAUAGUGAUGUGCAUUACCGAGAGGGCCCAGAGAUACCUCUCCAACAAUCGGAGUGACAGAUCCUAAUCUCGAUCUAUGCCAACUCAACAAACACCAUCGGAGACACCUGUAGAGCAUCUUUAUAAUCACCCAGUUACGUUGUGACGUUUGAUAGCACACAAAGUGUUCCUCCGGUAUUUGGGAGUUGCAUAAUCUCAUAGUCAUAGGAACAUGUAUAAGUCAUGAAGAAAGCAAUAUCAACAUACUAAACGAUCAAGUGCUAAUCUAACGGAAUGAGUCAAGUCAAUCACAUCAUUCUCUAAUGAUGUGAUCCCGUUAAUCAAAUGACAACUUAUGUCUAUGGUUAGAAAACUUAACCAUCUUUGAUUCAACGAGCUAGUCAAGUAGAGACAUACUAGUGACACUCUGUUUGUCUAUGUAUUCACACAUGUACUAAGUUUCCGGUUAAUACAAUUCUAGCAUGAAUAAUAAACAUUUAUCAUGAUAUAAGGAAAUAUAAAUAACAACUUUAUUAUUGCCUCUAGGGCAUAUUUCCUUCAGAUCCGGCGCCUCAAUGGCAAGCAGGCGAAUGACAGGAAGUGGCGGCGGCGGAAAGGAGAAAGGGGAAGAAAUGGGACGGGAUAGGGUUCGGUUGCCGUCGUUCGGCUUAAAUUGGCGACCUUUCUCUAUCGGAAAGCACGCCGGAGCGGCGCCACGCGGCAAUGGAGCGGAGCAGAUGCCCGUCGACCAGAGAUCUUUCUGUGUCAUUGUGUGGGCCCUAUCGGUCAGUCUGACGUGGCACCCGCGUCCAGGCGCGUCUGGGCGUCCCAUAUCCACUCGGAUACGAGUCAGGUAUGAGGAGUGUUGGUCAGUCCGAACGUUUGGGCCAGCUAUGGGAGCCUGGUUGGGUAGCUAAACAACGUCCGAGCACUGACUAGGCAGCCCAUCCGGGUGUUUGGUACGGGUAUGGGGGUCUGGUUGUUGAUGCUCUAAGACCGUAUAAUCAUCCCCUUGGUGUUAACCGUUUUAAACCCACAAUACACUAGUCAGUAGGUCUUGUUUUCUUUUGCCACAAUUAAUCACGUUUUUGGUUGAACAUACAAGUCCGGCCACAUGGUAUAUCAUGCAUUAUUUCACGAAAUUUUCCAUGACUAGCAAGAAAAGUGUGGUGGCAAACACGGAAAUGCUGACUGCUUCCCUCGGUCCCCUAGGGUGGUGGUUCAGGAAGCCGUUGCAUCAUGCAAGGAUGAUGCAUUGAAAGGUUUUGUGUGUGUUGCACAUGUGAUCUCGCUCGGUUUGGCCGUAAACAGGUUGGUGCCGGAGCAGGACAGGCAGCGCAUGUUCACAACCGGCGAGGAAGAUUCCUGUAUCCACUUUUGGUGUAAUAUACCAGUGUAAGUACAUUGCUUGAUUAUACUAGUACUAUAUGAAGGCGAGUUAUAUAUGCCGAGCAUGCGGACCGGGAGCAGAAUAAACUAGGACUUGCUUGCUGGUCUUCUACCUACCAUUGUACUAUUUCCUUUGUGCUUUUCUUCUUCUUCCUACAAAAAAGAGAUGGUAAUACAAUAUCAGGAAGGCAGCCGGGUGCUUGCUCGUAUCUUCUAUGGUUUGAUCAAUUAUUGUUCUCUUCGGAAAAACGAGCCUCGACAAUUUUCGAUUAAAAGAAUCCCACAAAGUUAUUACAAACCAUGUACUGAAACGAAAAACAAACUCAGAGCAUAUAGCAGGCUAAACAGGCUCAUCGCCAAGCCAAGCUAGACCCUCUGCCACGAAACAACCGUACAUGAGGUCCAAAAGGCACACAGGCUACCACAUGGUGUAUGUGCUAAGCAACCUCAAAACAAACAAAAGGCACACAAGUCAGGCUCAGUGCAGCGAAUGCAAGUUUUAAUUAUGAUAAAUGAUGUUUUAUUAAUUCAAAAUGUAGGAUCAAACUGGUAGGAUGCAUGAUGACUAACAACCGGCCUCUAUAAAUUGAGAUGCACACUGUUAGUCUGACAAAAGAAAAUAAAAUAUCGACAUAUCGGCCACGAUAGAGUAUGGUGGACCGACCUGAAGAUUAUGUUGCUACCAAUAUUGGGUAAAAACCUCCCUAGCCACCCGCUCCAACCGCGUACACAUCGUCAUAAAACAAGAAGUAUUGUUGUCUCAUCAUGAGUAUAAAAACUAUACUUCUUGUUUCCUUGUCGAUUGCGAUCGGCGAGGUUGUCUUUGGUUAGCAAAACUCUCCUCUAAAGAUAAAUAUUUUAACAUUUAGUGAAAUUUUCGUCUUUCAAUUUUUCUUGUUAUUAUCCACUAGGACCUUUGAAUGUGUAAGUGCACAAUACAUAGAGUCGACUAUGAAGGAUCGAGAUGUAGUGAGAUUCCAGCAAAACACAUCCCAGGUUUGUGUCAGGUUAAUCAAAUUCAAUCAGGGUAAAAGAUUUUGCCAGGACAUAAGAUGGGAGCCAAUCAAAUCUCCCGUGAAAGAACUACCCGACGGGAAUGAACUAAGCAUCUGUGCAAUAGUAUCAUUCUUACCGCAAAUAAUGUGGUAAAAAGUUGGAUAUUGUUCUUGAAGGCUGGCAUUGCCUAGCCACUUGUCCUUCGAGAAACGAAUCUCCUACCUGUCGUUUAUCGCAAAGGAUCCGGAGCAGAAAAUGUGUUUGUUUGUUGUCAUUAGACCAGCCCAAAAGUGCAAGUCACCGGGUAUUUAAUAGGCCCGAGACACGGCUUUUUUGCCUAGAUACAUAUUACGCGACAGAGAUUUCUAAAGAAAUAAUUGAUUUUAUGCCCCUAGUUGGGUCACAUUCGGCAGGUUUACCCCUAGUUUUCGAAAACACUCGUUCAUGCCCAAAUCACUUUGUUCGUCUUAUGCUUUUGCCCUUUGACUGUUUGACCAUGAAUUCAAAAAUUUCAUAACAAAUUCAUACUAACUCAGAAAAAUGCGAAUAAGAUAUCAAAAUGUUAAGAAAAAUAUCACCUAUAUGUCCAUGUGAUUUGCACUCAUGAAAAAAGUGUUGGGAAGUCUCCGUCUUAGUUUGAGCUCAUAUGAUCUCAACACAAACAGUAAAAUCUGAAAAAUUUGAAAAACAAUUCAAAAAUUCUUAAAUUUUUUUGUGGCAAACAUUGGCCAAUGUUUUGAGUGCUUGAGAAGUUUCAUCAGGGAAUGACAUUCACGGAAGUCGUGGCCAAAAAACAAAAUUAGCACUCCAAAAUGCUUUUGUUUUCGAGCAUCGGUUUUGGUUUAUUCACCACGACUUCCACAAAUUUCAUUCCCUUAUGAAACUUGGCAAGAACUCAAAACAUUAGGAAUUUUUUUAAUUUUUUUAAUUUUUUUUACGGAUUUUACUGUUCAAGCUAAGAUCAUAGGAGCUCAAUCUCAGAUUGGGACCUCCUAACACAUUUGUGAUGAAUGCAAAUGACAUGCACAUAGGUGAUGUUUUAAUGAACAUUUUGAUAUCUUAUUCACAUUUUUCUGAGUAAGUAUGAAUUUGUUAUGAUUUUUUUAAAGUGACGGUCAAAUGGUUAAAGGGCAAAAGUAUACGACGAGCAAAGUGGUUUGGGCACAGAAUUAAGUAUCCCAUUUCUAAACUUCAUCCUCAAUAAAUAGUAUGAACAACCAUUUACAAAGAAAGGCAUCAUUCUUUACUUGUAGAUCAUGAAUACCAAGUCCACCUCUGUCUUUCGGCCUACAAACCACGGGUCAUUUGGUCAGCCUGUACUUUUUAUUUUCAUUGUCUCCUUGCUAAAGAAUCUGGAUCUGAAAUAAUCCAGCCUUUACAAGACCCCCUGGUUGGAGUUAAAAAAGAGCAUAUAGAGAACCAUAUUUGUGAGGACAGAGUUGAUUAAGACCAACCGUCCUCCAACGAAGAGCAACUUGCCUGUCCAACUUCUCAACCGCUGUGAUGCCCCCGAUUCGACCGUACACUAAUCAUACACGCAAAUGUGUACGAUCAAGAUCAGGGACUCACGGGAAGAUAUCACAACACAACUCUAGACACAAAAUGAAAAAAAAUACAAGCUUCAUAUUACAAGCCAGGGGCCUCGAGGGCUCGAAUACAAGCUCGAUACACAAGAGUCAGCGGAAGCAACAAUAUCUGAGUACAGACAUAAGUUAGACAAGACAGCCUUAAGAAGGCAAGCACAAAAGAAGCAACGAUCGAAGAGGCAAGGCCUCCUGCCUGGGACCUCCUAACUACUCCUGGUCGUCGGCGGCCUCCAAGUAGCAGUAUCCGUCAGCGGUGGCAUCUAGCUCUAGGGAUCCACCAUCUGGUUGCAUCAACCGAAAAGAAGGAAGAAGGGGAAAAGGGGGUAGCAAAGCAACCGUGAGUACUCAUCCAAAGUACUCGCAAGCAUCAGAUCUAUACUAAGUAUGCAUUGGUAUCAAAAUGGAAGGGCUGUAUCUGUGGACUGAACUGCAGAAUGCCAGAAUAGAGGGGAAGGCCUAGCCUAUCGAAGACUAGCAUCUUCAAGCAGCUCCAAGCAUCUUGCAGCAUGUAGAAGAGUAAAGAAUAGCAGUUUAAUUAACAAGCAUGUUGUAACAUUAAUGCCCAGAGAUCCUUCCUCGACUCCCUGCGAGAAAGCAAUCCCGGAGCCACAUAUCUCAAGUAUCCAUUUCUAGUUGUAAAAGAUCAGGAUAUAAGUCUGAACGUCCGUUACCGUGGACACGGCUAUUAAUAGAUAAUCUUCCCUGCAGGGGUGCACCACGUUUUCCAACACGCUUGAUUACUCUGGUCGGACACAUCUUUCUGGGGUCAAUGCCCGGCCUCGGAAGAUCAACACGUCGCAGCCCUACCUAGGCUCAGCAGAGAGGUCCCCGGCGGUCUACAUCCUAAGCACUCCGGGGUCUGGGCCCAUCGCCCGUUGCACUCCGGAUCGUUGCGCGAAGGGCGAUACAGGCCACCUCCACGGGGGCGCUGACCAGGCCGUGCCGCAAUGCUGAACUGGACGUCUGACAAAGCUUCGGCUGAUACAGCGACGUCGAGGCCCAUAACUAUUCUCGCGUGGUGGUUAGUGCGUAAAGGCCAAAGGCCAACUCUGAACAAAUACCCAAACCGUAGUGUAUUAUUAGCUUGCGGAGACGAGCAGAGACUCACGAUAAUGUGACCCCGUCGCCCCGUCUCGAGGAAAUACGGCAAGGGCUAGCCCAGCCCACUCGGGGGCGGCCUGCCGGCCCGGCCAUGUCUCGUAACCAUCUUGCGGGUGCUCUCCGGGCCCGCCCGACUUCCACCAAGGUCUCAAGUAAAGUCAAGGUAACCGUGUGUCCAGACAUCAAGGGGAAAACCCGAGGAAUCACCCCCGGUGGAUUCCACUCAAUGUAAUCAUCAAGGUGAACGUAAGAGGGACCACCCUCGAGGUUCACACUUGAGGUGUUGCACGACAGAGCCGUAUCGGGAAUGGUGAAAGAGGAAAUCACCCUCGAUGACCACGACCGAAUAGCUACACUACAGAAUUAUCAUCAGGAGUGCGUUAUGAGGGAUCACCCUCGGCACUCGAUAGUAGCUCUGCAGAGUCGAGCAACAAAAGGGGCGUGAUGUGAUGUGAGGUGUCGGGCUUUGGUCGUCGAUCACGUUGAUCGAGUCGUCGAUGAUGAAGCAGGGGCAACAAGGACAAGGUGGGGGUCACCGAUGGAUCUCUAACCAACCUAUACUAAGCAGUUUAGGAUAAGCAGGUAGGUAACAAUAGCAGGUACAAAAGCAGGCUGUGCAUCAGAAUAGGAGCAAUCAAUUACAGUAGCAAAAUCUAAUGCAAGCAUGAGAGAAUGGAAUGGGCGAUAUCGGGAUGAUCAAGGGGGGGGGCUUGCCUGGAAGCUCCGCUGAAAGGGAAGAAGGGUCGUCGAUGACGUAGUCGAUCACAGGGGCAUCAGCAGCGGUCUCGGGGUCUACCGGAGAGAAGAGGGGGAAGAAACAGUAUAAGGCACACAAAUGCAUGACAUGACAAUAAGCAGCACUAGGUGUGUCCUAACGUGGUGUCACGCGAUACUGGCGAAGGGGGAAAACAUCCGGGAAAGCUUUCCCGAAGUUUGGCAUUUUCGGACAGAUGAAAAGAAGGGGAUGGUUGCAGGUUCGCUAUGCUAGGGACAUGUGGCAGACGAACAGGCUGCGUAUUCAGAUUCGUCUCGUCGUUCAGAGCAACUUUCAUGUACAAAGUAUUUUCAUCCGAGCUACGGAUUAUUUUCUAUGACUUUCCAAAGUUUUAAAUCAUUUUCGGAAAUAACAGAAUUAAUUUAAAUAGAUAAAAGCCAUUACUGUGCCAGCAUGAUGUCAUCAUGAUGUCAGCGGUCAACACUGACCGUUGACUGGUCAAACAGGGCAGUGGGGCCCAUCUGUCAUUGACCUAACUAGUCUAACAGUUUUAAUUAACUAAGUUUAGUUAAUUAGGGUAAUUUAACAAGGUUAAUUACGUUAAUUAAUUAGUUAGUUAACUAAUUAAUUAAUUUUUCCUAUUAUCCAAUCGGGCGCUGGGCGAGCGGGUGCGGGCGCCCGUGCCCGAGGCCGUAGCUUGCCCAGGGCGGGGUGAGGCCAGCCGGGGCCGCGGCCACGGUCAACGACGAGACAAGGGGCCGGCGCACGCGAGGUCGGGCGUGCGGACGCACGCAGGGGCGUGGCCGGGGAGCAGGAAGGCGCCGACAGCGGUAGGGCCCCGCUGGCAGUGGCCCAAAGGGCCAAUCGGGCGCUGGGCGAGCGGGUGCGGGCGCCCGUGCCCGAGGCCGUAGCUUGCCCAGGGCGGGGCGAGGCCAGCCGGGGCCGCGGCCACGGGCNNNNNNNNNNNNNNNNNNNNNNNNNNNNNNNNNNNNNNNNNNNNNNNNNNNNNNNNNNNNNNNNNNNNNNNNNNNNNNNNNNNNNNNNNNNNNNNNNNNNNNNNNNNNNNNNNNNNNNNNNNNNNNNNNNNNNNNNNNNNNNNNNNNNNNNNNNNNNNNNNNNNNNNNNNNNNNNNNNNNNNNNNNNNNNNNNNNNNNNNNNNNNNNNNNNNNNNNNNNNNNNNNNNNNNNNNNNNNNNNNNNNNNNNNNNNNNNNNNNNNNNNNNNNNNNNNNNNNNNNNNNNNNNNNNNNNNNNNNNNNNNNNNNNNNNNNNNNNNNNNNNNNNNNNNNNNNNNNNNNNNNNNNNNNNNNNNNNNNNNNNNNNNNNNNNNNNNNNNNNNNNNNNNNNNNNNNNNNNNNNNNNNNNNNNNNNNNNNNNNNNNNNNNNNNNNNNNNNNNNNNNNNNNNNNNNNNNNNNNNNNNNNNNNNNNNNNNNNNNNNNNNNNNNNNNNNNNNNNNNNNNNNNNNNNNNNNNNNNNNNNNNNNNNNNNNNNNNNNNNNNNNNNNNNNNNNNNNNNNNNNNNNNNNNNNNNNNNNNNNNNNNNNNNNNNNNNNNNNNNNNNNNNNNNNNNNNNNNNNNNNNNNNNNNNNNNNNNNNNNNNNNNNNNNNNNNNNNNNNNNNNNNNNNNNNNNNNNNNNNNNNNNNNNNNNNNNNNNNNNNNNNNNNNNNNNNNNNNNNNNNNNNNNNNNNNNNNNNNNNNNNNNNNNNNNNNNNNNNNNNNNNNNNNNNNNNNNNNNNNNNNNNNNNNNNNNNNNNNNNNNNNNNNNNNNNNNNNNNNNNNNNNNNNNNNNNNNNNNNNNNNNNNNNNNNNNNNNNNNNNNNNNNNNNNNNNNNNNNNNNNNNNNNNNNNNNNNNNGGGGCGCCGCGGGGUCGAGCCCCCGAUCUGGAUCCAGGGGAGGGAGAGCGAGCGACGUGGGGAGUGGGGGAGCUCGAGGGGAGUGGGGCGAGCUGUCCAGAUAUUUUGGGUGCGUGGGGGGAUAAGGGAGAGGGAGAGGUGGGCCGGCCAGGUGGUCCAGCUGGGCCACGGCCUAGUGGGGGAAGGGGCUUCUCUCUUUUCUUUUUUUUAAUUGCCUUCUCCUUUUUACUGAUUUUAAAUUUGAUUUUUGCAACCGACUUUGAAUCAACGCGAACUUAACAACAGUAAAAUCGAUGACAUGGCACCAUUAACAGUGGUUUACUGUAGCAUAAUUAUCCGGGCGUUACAAUUCUCCUCCACUACAAGAAAUCUCGUCCCGAGAUUUAGGAGGUAGAAGGAAACAGUUCAGGGUAUUCAUCACGCAGGCGAUCCUCGCGUUCCCAAGUGGCUUCGUCUUCAGAGUGAUGCGGCCACUGGACCUUGAGGAACUUGAUCGCCUUCUGACGUGUGCGACGUUCAGCUUGGUCGAGAAUGCGGACCGGAUGCUCUUUAUAGAAGAGGUCCUGUUGCAACUCGAGCACUUCAUGAUCCACUGCUCGGAUUGGUUCCUUGAAGCAGCGGUGGAGUUGUGACACGUGGAACACAUCGUGAACCUGAGAAAGGUUCGACGGAAGUUCCAACUGGUAUGCCACUUUUCCACGCCUUCCGAGAAUAGUGAAAGGACCAAUAUAGCGAGGAGCUAGCUUGCCCUUGAUCCCGAAGCAGUGUGCACCCUUCAUUGGUGUGACCCGAAGAUAAGCCUUUUCACCAGGUUGAUAGACCAUGUCUUUAUGAUGACGAUCAUAAUUACUCUUUUGACGUGACUGAGCAGUCUUGAGAUUCUCAUGAAUGACGCGGACUUGUUCUUCGGCGUGUUGGAUAAUAUUCGGACCGAAGAGUGGAUGUUCCCCAGUUUCUGACCAGUUCAGAGGGGUUCGACACUUUCGUCCAUAUAACACUUCGAAGGGGGCCAUCUUCAGACUAGCUUGAUAGCUAUUGUUGUAGGAGAACUCAGCAUACGGGAGAGAUUCCUCCCAUUUCUUGCCGAAGGAAAUGACACAAGCUCGAAGCAUGUCUUUGAGAACUUGAUUGACGCGUUCAACUUGUCCCUGAGACUGGGGGGUGAAAAGCGGUGCUGAAUGACAGAUGAGUUCCCAUAGCUUCUUGGAAACUUGCCCAGAAUCUUGAAGUGAAUAAGCUGCCACGGUCUGAGCUGAUUACCAGCGGAAUACCAUGAAGUGAAACAAUUCUGGACAUAUAGAGGGUUGCCAGCUGACUUGCAGUGAUCGUUUCUUUGACGGCCAGAAAGUGUGCAACUUUAGGAAGCCGGUCAAUGACGACAAGAAUAGCAUCCUUACCUUUUUGCGAUUUGGGAAAUCCAGUGACGAAGUCCAUUUCAACAUGGUCCCAUUUCCAUUCAGGAAUAGAGAUAGGUUGCAGAGUUCCAGCAGGCCUUUGAUGUUCUGCUUUGAUACGACGGCAAACGUCACAUUCAGCAACAUAACGAGCAAUGUCUUGCUUCAUAUUUGACCACCAGAACCUCUGACGAAUGUGUUUGUACAUCUUGGUACUACUGGGAUGUAUAGACAAUGGAGUGUCAUGAGCUUCUUUCAUAACCUCCUUAGUCAUAUCCAGGUUGUCUUUUGAAGGAACCACUAGGCGACCUUUGAUGAACAAAACGCCAACAUUAUCAACAGUGAAGAAUGACGGCCUUCCUUCUGUGAGGUAGCGUUUAAUCUUCUCAACUUGAGAGUCAUAUCCCUGCAUUCUCUUGAUGGAGUCCAAGAGAUCUGGUUCGACAGCUAGGGUAUUGAGGGAACCCUGGGAAACAACACGGAGGUUCAUCUUGCGAAACUCCUUAGGAGGGGGAGCGAGUGCACCCGGAGGAACAAUAUGGAGGUUCAUCUUUCUGAAUUCUUCAACAAGCAAAGGUUGAACUUUGCAAACCUCGAGAUGGUUGCAAUAUGACUUGCGGCUCAAGGCAUCAGCCAUUACAUUAGCCUUGCCUGGUGUAUAGGAAAUACCCAUGUCAAAGUCUGCUACGAUCUCCAUCCAUCUCAGCUGACGGAGGUUCAAAUCUGGCUGAGUAAACAGGUACUUCAGACUUUGGUGGUCGGUGAAGAUCUCGCAACGAUUACCAAGAAGGUAAUGUCGCCACUGUUUCAGUGCAUGUAUGACAGCAGCAACCUCGAGGUCAUGAACUGGGUAGUUCUCUUCGUGAGGGCGCAACUGACGAGAGGCAUAAGAAAACACUCUGCGCUCUUGCAUUAGGACACAUCCUAAUCCUUGUCGUGAAGCAUCGCAGUAAAUGACGAAAUCCUUCUUAGUAUCUGGCGGAGCAAGCACUGGGGCAGAAGUCAGCUUGUCUUUGAGUGCUUGGAAACUUUCCUGACACUUUUCUGUCCAAUCGAACUUGAUGCCUUUGUGAAGCAGACUAGUCAGGGGCUUCGCGAUCUUGGAGAAGUUCUCGACAAAUCGACGGCAAUAGCUGGCGAGUCCGAGAAAACUUCUGACUUGUUUGACAUUCUUCAGAGGAGUCCAGUCGAGAAUAGCCUCAACUCGUUCGGGGUUGACGGCAAUACCAUCCUUGGAGAUGACAUGCCCAAGGUAGGUCACUUCGGGAAGCCAGAAUUCACACUUGGAAUAUUUGGCAUAUAGUUGAUGUUCUCGAAGCUUUUCCAGAACAAGACGCAGAUGUUCAGCAUGUUCUUCUUUGUUCUUGGAGUACACAAGGAUAUCAUCCAGAUAAACCACGACGAACUUGUCGAGGUAUUCCAUGAAUAUAUAGUUCAUCAGACGAGAGAAUGUCGCUGGAGCAUUUGUCAAACCAAAGGACAUGACGGUGUACUCGUAUGAACCAUAGCGGGUAACGAAGGCGGUCUUGGGAAUAUCCUCUUCACGAACCCGAAUCUGGUGGUAACCCAACCUCAAAUCCAGUUUAGAGAAUACUGAGGAACCAGCAAGUUGAUCAUACAGAUCGUUGAUUCUGGGAAGCGGAUACUUGUUCUGAAUUGUUGCCUGGUUGAUCGGUCGGUAAUCUUGGACCAAACGAUUCGUACCAUCCUUCUUCUUGACAAAGAGAGAAGGUGCUCCCCAAGCAGAGGAACUAGGACGAAUGAAUCCCUUAUGAAGAGAUUUGUCGAUUUCCUCCUUAAGUUCAAGGAGUUCAUGUGGCGGCAUCUUGUAUGCCCGCUUGGCAAUAGGAGUAGUGCCCGGUUUCAAGUCUAUGACGAAUUCGACAGCUCUAGCAGGGGGUAUUCCUGGAAGUUCUUCUGGGAAGACAUCUUUGAAUUCACGAACAACUGGAAUGUUCUCUAUUCCCUCAAGAGGUGAAGCAUUCAAUGCAUUCAGAACAUAUAUUUGAUUCUCGGCAUCCUGAGCUGCUCGGGCUGAGUAUUGGACUGUCUGGCCAAAAGGGUGAGUGAGCUGGACUGUCUCAGCUGCACAGUCGAUAAGGGUUUGGUGAGGACCCAACCAAUUCAUGCCCAGAAUGACAUCUAUGGUAGAAACCUUGAGGGCCAUAAGUGAAGCAGUGAAUACUAACCCUCCAAUUUCAAUGUGGUUGUUGUGGGCUAUCAUCGAGGUAUCCCACCUGGAGCCUGGAGAGCUAACCACCAGUGGAGGGUACAUAUUUUCAAACGAUAAUUCUUGCUUGCGAGCAAAUGCUUCAGAAAUGAAAGAAUGUGAUGCUCCCGAAUCAAAAAGAACAGAAGCUGGGACUGAAUUCACUAGGAGGGUACCCAUCACAAUUUUGGGGUCCCGUCGAGCUUCUUCAACCUUUACAUGAUUAACAUGACCAUGACUGAGUGCAGGCGGCCUGGCAUUUGGGUUUUUGGGUUGACGAGCUCGUUCCUUUUGACUCUGUGACGGGCGGCAGCUGGCAGCUCGGUGCCCUGGCUGUCCACACUUGCGGCAUAAACCAUCAUUAUGAGGAGGAGCUACAACACUGGACUGUCCACCCUGAAUCGUUAGCUGUCUCGGUGGCGGAGGCAAACGAGGUGCAACAUAAGACGGCCUUGGUGUUGGAGCAGGUCGGUGAUGAACAUUGUGUGGGAUCCAGACUCGACGUUUCUGAGCAGGCUGACUCGAGGAUGGGCCAACAUCUCGAGUACGCUUGAGCGACUCCUGGUACUCAGUCAGACCAGUUUCAGUUCGGAAAGCUUGGCUGACAAGCAUCGCAAAGUCCGCGCAAUCAUGAGCAACAAGUGUGAGCUUUAUAUCGGGACGCAGUCCUUCACGGAAUUUCUCCUGCUUGUGAGCGUCAGUGCAGACGUCAUCCGCAGCAUAGCGAGAUAAUUCAAGGAAUUUCCUCUGAUAUUCAUCCACAGUCAUUGUGCCAUGUGAGAGUUUGCGGAACUCCUUCUUCUGGUCCAUCAGACCUUGAGGAAUGUGCCGUGCACGGAAGGCUAACUGAAAUUCCUGCCAAGUGGUUACAGUCUCUGCAGGCAGCAUACCCCUGUGGCUUUCCCACCAUUGAGCAGCUGAACCCUUCAGGUGAAAUGUCGCAAAGGUGACAUAACUGGCAGGGGCAACAUUAGCUGAUUCCAUCUCAAACAUGAUGUCACGAAGCCAAUCACCAGCAUCCAUAGGAUUGGUGGAGUUCCGGAAAACGGACGGGUUGAGGCGCACAAAUUCUGGCAGUGUUAUUGGGGCAGGCUGUUGAUGAGCAUUCUGGUUCGGGAACUGGGCCAUUACCCCAGUCAUAAACUGACGAUUCAGCUCAAACUGCUGCAUCAUUGCGGCAAUAUAGGGUGGAGGAUCGUCAGCCAUCCUGCUAAAAUCAUCACGGAGCGGUUUUAACAAGAGGUUGGAGCAGGUGUAUGGAGACAUUCAUGAUGUAACUUGAACAUGAGCAAAGGCACAUAUGUACAAUUCAGUAUCAUUAAAGACAUACAUAUACAUAUACAGAGCCAUUUACACGUUGUUAGCAUGAGUUCGGACAAGAGAAUCAUCCUAGACAUACUAGGCGGCAAGCUGGCACGCGAUGGAGGGAUACAACAACGAGACAUAGCAAAGGCUACAUCCACGUCGGAGAAAACCACUAGAGCGAGGAAUCUGCAGGGGACGACGCAGGGUGCCCUCGAUAAAAGGAUCCUGCGGCCCGUGAACAAUGUGAAGCAGAUCCUGACUCCCAAUUCAAGGAAGGCGUAGUAAAAAUCUCCGGAUGGAUGUGAUCAUGAGAACCUAUGAUAGAGUUAGCAAAAUCAUUUAAAACGAAUAGAAGAGAGAUCAGAGUCCCAGAGUAAAGGUCGAGGAGUAAAACAUCCUAAUACCACCCAAUGGCGACGUGGGCCCGUAAGCUACACGGCCAUGUUAGUAAAUCAGUUUUUCAAAGACUAGACUCAAUUUGGGCCAAGGAGUUGGAAAGGGGGUUCCUAUAGGCAGUCGGCUCUGAUACCAACUUGUGACGCCCCCGAUUCGACCGUACACUAAUCACACACGCAAAUGUGUACGACCAAGAUCAGGGACUCACGGGAAGAUAUCACAACACAACUCUAGACACAAAAUGAAAAAAUGCAAGCUUCAUAUUACAAGCCAGGGGCCUCGAGGGCUCGAAUACAAGCUCGACACACAAGAGUCAGCGGAAGCAACAAUAUCUGAGUACAGACAUAAGUUAGACAAGACAGCCUUAAGAAGGCAAGCACAAAAGAAGCAACGAUCGAAGAGGCAAGGCCUCCUGCCUGGGACCUCCCAACUACUCCUGGUCGUCGGCGGUCUCCAAGUAGCAGUAUCCGUCAGCGGUGGCAUCUAGCUCUAGGGAUCCACCAUCUGGUUGCAUCAACCGAAAAGAAGGAAGAAGGGGAAAAGGGGGUAGCAAAGCAACCGUGAGUACUCAUCCAAAGUACUCGCAAGCAUCAGAUCUAUACUAAGUAUGCAUUGGUAUCAAAAUGGAAGGGCUGUAUCUGUGGACUGAACUGCAGAAUGCCAGAAUAGAGGGGAAGGCCUAGCCUAUUGAAGACUAGCAUCUUCAAGCAGCUCCAAGCAUCUUGCAGCAUGUAGAAGAGUAAAGAAUAGCAGUUUAAUUAACAAGCAUGUUGUAACAUUAAUGCCUAGAGAUCCUUCCUCGACUCCCUGCGAGAAAGCAAUCCCGGAGCCACAUAUCUCAAGUAUCCAUUUCUAGUUGUAAAAGAUCAGGAUAUAAGUCUGAACGUCCGUUACCGUGGACACGGCUAUUAAUAGAUAAUCUUCCCUGCAGGGGUGCACCACGUUUUCCAACACGCUUGAUUACUCUGGCCAGACACACCUUUCUGGGGUCAAUGCCCGGCCUCGGAAGAUCAACACGUCGCAGCCCUACCUAGGCUCAGCAGAGAGGUCCCCGGCGGUCUACAUCCUAAGCACUCCGGGGUCUGGGCCCAUCGCCCGUUGCACUCCGGAUCGUUGCGCGCAGGGCGAUACAGGCCACCUCCACUGGGGCGCCGACCAGGCCGUGCCGCAAUACUGAACUGGACGUCUGACAAAGCUUCGGCUGAUACUGCGACGUCGAGGCCCAUAACUAUUCUCGCAUGGUGGUUAGUGCGUAAAGGCCAAAGGCCAACUCAGAACAAAUACCCAAACCAUAGUGUAUUAUUAGCUUGCGGAGACGAGCAGAGACUCACGAUAAUGUGAACCCGUCGCCCCGUCUCAAGGAAAUACGGCAAGGGCUAGCCCAGCCCACUCGGGGGCGGCCUGCCGGCCCGGCCAUGCCUCGUAACCAUCUUGCGGGUGCUCUCCGGGCCCGCUCGACUUCCACCAAGGUCUCAAGUAAAGUCAAGGUUGUCCAGACAUCAAGGGGAAAACCCGAGGAAUCACCCCCGAUGGAUUCCACUCAAUGUAAUCAUCAAGGUGAACGUAAGAGGGACCACCCUCGAGGUUCACACUUGAGGUGUUGCACGACAGAGCCGUAUCGGGAAUGGUGAAAGAGGAAAUCACCCUCGAUGACCACGACCGAAUAGCUACACUACAGAAUUAUCAUCAGGAGUGCGUUAUGAGGGAUCACCCUCGGCACUCGAUAGUAGCUCUGCAGAGUCGAGCAACAAAAGGGGCGUGAUGUGAUGUGAGGUGUCGGGCUCUGGUCAUCGAUCACGUUAAUCGAGUCAUCGAUGAUGAAGCAGGGGUAACAAGGACAAGGUGGGGGUCACCGAUGGAUCUCUAACCAACCUAUACUAAGCAGUUUAGGAUAAGCAGGUAGGUAACAAUAGCAGGUACAAAAGCAGGCUGUGCAUCAGAAUAGGAGCAAUCAAUUACAGUAGCAAAAUCUAAUGCAAGCAUGAGAGAAUGGAAUGGGCGAUAUCGGGAUGAUCAAAGGGGGGGCUUGCCUGGAAGCUCCGCUGAAAGGGAAGAAGGGUCGUCGAUGACGAAGUCGAUCACAGGGGCAUCAGCAGCGGUCUCGGGGUCUACCGGAGAGAAGAGGGGGAAGAAACAGUAAAUAUAAGGCACACAGAUGCAUGCAUGACAAUAAGCAGCACUAGGUGUGUCCUAACGUGGUGUCACGCGAUACUGGCGAAGGGGGAAAACAUCCGGGAAAGCUUUCCCGAAGUUUGGCAUUUUCGGACAGAUGAAAAGAAGGGGAUGGUUGCAGGUUCACUAUGCUAGGGACAUGUGGCAGACGAACGGGCUGCGUAUUCAGAUUCGUCUCGUCGUUCAGAGCAACUUUCAUGUACAAAGUAUUUUCAUCCGAGCUACGGAUUAUUUUCUAUGACUUUCCAAAGUUUUAAAUCAUUUUCGAAAAUAAAAGAAUUAAUUUAAAUAGAUAAAAGCCAUUACUGUGCCAGCAUGAUGUCAUCAUGACGUCAGCGGUCAACACUGACCGUUGACUGGUCAAACAGGGCAGUGGGGCCCACCUGUCAUUGACCUAACUAGUCUAACAGUUUUAAUUAACUAAGUUCAGUUAAUUAGGGUAAUUUAACAAGGUUAAUUAAGUUAAUUAAUUAGUUAGUUAACUAAUUAAUUAAUUUUUUCCUAUUAAUUUUUUAAGAAAAGGCGGCUGUGGGGCCCCGCUGGCAGUGGCCCAAAGGGCCAAUCGGGCACUGGGCGAGCGGGUGCGGGUGCCCGUGCCCGAGGCCGUAGCUUGCCUAGGGCGGGGCGAGGCCAGCCGGCGCCGCGGCCACGGGCAACGAUGAGACAAGGGGCGGGCGCACGGACGCACGCAUGGGCGCGACCGGCGAGCAGGAAGGCGCCGACAGCGGUAGCGGCAGCAUUAGCGGGGCGAGGCCACAGCGGACGGGGGCGUGUGUGAGCGCGCGCGGCGUCGCGGGCGCGCACGGGAGGGCGCCAAGGCGAGGCGAGGGUGGCCGGGCACAGCUGUGGGGCGCGGUGGUCGGGCAUCGGGCGUGCUAGGCGGGACGUGACCAUGCGCUUGUUCGGGAGGCUGCGGGCGGCGAGCAGGCAACCAUGAUGCGGGGCGCGCAGGCCAAGGCAGAUGAGCGGGAAGGGGAAGAGGGGAGCGUGCUCACGGGGCCCUGUAGAGGUGCUAAAAAUGAGCUCGGGGAGGCGCCGGAGCUCGGGGCGGCGCUGGUCGACGUCGAGGAUGGCGACGACACGAUGGAGCCGCUGGGGAGGAGGACGGGGACGAUCCGGCGAGGGGGGGAAGUUCCGGCGACGGCGUGGCGUCGGUUGGCGGCGGGGUCGAGGCAACGGUGCCUGGGACGUCGCGGUGAGGGGGGCUUCUGGGAGGAGGGAGGCGUCAGGCAGGUGGUUCUCCGGGUGGCGGGCGGCGUCGGGGCGCCGCGGGAUCGAGCCCCCGAUCUGGAUCCAGGGGAGGGAGAGCCAGCGACGUGGGGAGUGUGGGGGAGAUCGAAGGGAGUGGGGCGAGCUGUCCAGAUAUUUUGGGUGCGUGGGGGGAUAAGGGAGAGGGAAGGUGGGCCGGCCAGGUGGUCUGGUGGUCCAGCUGGGCCACGGCCUAGUGGGGGAAGGGGCUUCUCUCUUUUAUUUUUUUAUUGCCUUCUCCUUUUUACUGAUUUUAAAUUUGAUUUUUGCAACCGACUUUGAAUCAACGCGAACUUAACAACAGUAAAAUCGAUGACAUGGCACCAUUAACAAUGGUUUACUGUAGCAUAAUUAUCCGGGCGUUACAACCGCUUCUUUGUGCGCUCCUCUACAUGUUUUCACUCUGCAUUUGUGCGACACUAAUGAUGAAUUAGAAUUCUCCAAUAUUUAAUCAAGAAAUGACGUUGCGCACAACCAAACAUAUCGGCGUAAUCAGCCGCCAUCUCAUUGGCUUCUUCAAAGCAAAACAAUUUGCUCUUGUGGAAGUUAAGUUUAAGACCCGACAUUUUCUCAGACGCUGAAAGUAAGACUUUCAAGUUGCGAGCCGUAUCCGGGUCAUGUUCCAUAAAAACGAAGCAUCGAUCUACUAUGGAAUAGAGAGUCCAUCAUCCAUAGUUGUGGCACUUCUCCCACAAUAUGACCGUCCUACUUGGCAUGAUGAAAUAGAAUAGCCAACAUGUUAGCAACAAUGUUAAAUAGCACUAGAGACAUGGAGUCACUCUGGCGUAGUCCUUUUACAUAUAGAAGUAAUUGCCUACAUCAUCAUUGACUUUGAUAGCCUCACUACCUCCAGUAACAAAAUUUUGGAUCCACUAACACUAUUUAUCAAAGAAUCCUUUCAUUGUUAGGGCAUGUUGAAGGAAACAUGCUAUUACAAAAUACAAGCCAACAGACCACAUCGCAACCAGAAGAAAAAUAAAAGGAAUUGGCCAAAGGAAAACACUAAGGGAGGAACAACUAGAAAUAGAAAGCACAAUACUCCUCACCAUUGGGUUCCAACCAUGCUCCCUUGCUUAGAUUUUCUCCAUAACCAUCUUGAUCCUCAUUGUUUCUUGCUCAGUUCUUUCCCGGUCUUGGAUUAUUUGCAAAAUGGCCCAUGUUUUAAGAUAAUAGCACAAAUGAAAAACCAUAGCAGAAGGAUUAUCAUGAUUUUUUUGUCAAAACAAGCAAUAUUUUUAGUCUUUCAUAUUGUCCAGCAAACAGUAACUGUCCCCCACCCCUCAAACCCAAAUGUCUUUUAUUUCAAGGGAAGGAGUGCAACCAGGUCCCCGUCAUACCAGCCAUCCCUUUUAGGAGGUUUGAAUAGGCCAAAUAAAAUAUCACCACUUGCCAAGCAAGUUUAGAAAUAUCACAUCUAAAGAGCAAAUGAUCGACACUCUCCUUGAUCCCACAAAAAUGACACUCCUCGUUGUGAUUUAAGAGUCCAUCCUCUUUCGACAAGAUUUUUUAGUCAAGAUGCUCCGCUUUAGCAUCAGCCAAGGAAACACCUAAAUCUUGUGGGGAAUCUUCAGCUUCCAAAUGCUUCUAAAGCCCACUAUGGUUGAGGAUUUCAGGAUAAUGUACAAAUCUCUCACCACAAAUUUGUUUUAUUUUAGUAAGGUUCCAUCUCAAUAUGUCUUUCUCAUUAAUCAAAACGACCUCAUCCACCAUUAGCCCCAUCGCAGCCCACUAAUUUGCCGUCUCGCCAUGUAAACUCCUAAGUUCAAAACACUCUCAUCCAACCUCUUUAACCUGCUCCACAGUCACCAUUUUUGUAAAAGAAACAUUAUAAAAUUUAGGGAAUUGCCGAGCCAGUGAUUUGUCCUCUAACCAUACAUCCUAAGCUCAAUAAAAUUUCUCUGACAUUCAUCGACCCCUGCCAAAAUUGAGACCCUCCAACACCAUAUGUCGUGGUGGGCGCACGGCAGAUGCCAAGGGAUGGCUAAAGAGAGGAGGAGGCUCGAGGGCGCUGGUGGGCUCCAGAGGCGAGGUUGGCAUGAGCGGGCGUGGGACGCCGGACAUACCCAGGUUCGGGGCUCUCCGGAGAGAUAAUACCCCUAGUCCUGCCGAGUGUAGUUGGAUGAUCGAUAGUACAAUGUUGCUCCAGGAGCUGUAUGAAGGAGGAAGGAAGCUGGCCAAGGCUUGGGCUGCUCCUUCUCUUCGGUGUUGCUGUUUCGUGGCUAGUCCUCCUGCUUCCGCCCCCGAAUGAUCGUGGGCUCCCGGGGGUUUUAUAGUCCAACCCCUCGGGGGUACAAUGGUAAUGUUAUAAGUCGGUGGGUCUAUGUAGUCGGUGUGCGGGGACCCGGGCUGGGUCCCGCUGAGGGCUUGUGGUUCGCCGGGUUCCCCUAGGUGCGGGCCCCGCCAGCCUAGGGGGACUGUGCGCCGUCUUGUCGAUUGUCAGGGCGUGGCCGAGUCGAGCCGCGUACAGUGCUCUCCUUCAGGUUGCCGCUUGCUGUCGUCAGCGGUGAGGGUGGGGGCACUGUUGCCACGCCGGCCCUGGUCAGCGGGUAGGUGAGGGGCACUGUUGCCACGUUCCUGCUGACCAGGGGCAUGGGCGGGGCACUGUUGCCUCGGUCAUCGUUGAUUGAAGUCUUGUCCCCGUCAUACGGCCUGGAUGGGACGGGAGUUGACCCGCGGCUGGAUUGCGUAGCAUGCCAUGGGUGGCGCUGGCUUGGUGAGGAGGCCUUGGCCGUGCCGGGUUCGGCUGUCUUGCGCCAGUUGUUGAGGCCGAGUCGACGUGUCUUGCCGGGUCGGCUAGUCUGGCCGGCUUGGGGGGCUUGGCCGGGUCGAGCGACCCGGCUAAGCGCGCGCCGGUAUUGAGGGGCGGUGCCAGCCCCGUUGUUUUUGAAGAGGAUCCUGGUUCCGUUGCCUGCCCGGGGUUCAUCCCCCCGACAGUAGUCCCCGAAGCUGUGAAGGUCCGCCGUCUUCACAUGAGUGGGCCUUCGCAGUUUCCCCCUUAAGCAAGGUGGAUUCUGCGAGCGCCAGGUCCGGCAACACCGACUGUGUGCCGGUUUUCUCGGAAACCGGAUCGCGGCGUCUUGGUCGUGGCGGGGACCGAGAAGUCCGCCGAAUCUUGGGGCAAUCCCUCGGGCUUUGCGCCGGUGCCACGUGGUGCCCGGAAGCCGGAGGGGCCUGACAGGCCACUCGCGUUACGGGACCGGGCGACGGGCUGGGGCCCGCCGCCGCGCGCUCGCCCCAAGCGCGCGGAUUUAUUGCGGCGUCCGGGGGCCGGUUGCUCUUCCCCGGGCAGUUACUGCGCGUGUACGCGCGCACUUAUUGCGGGGUAGUGGAACGGGCGCAUGCAGACGAUCCCACUUCCCCACGUUCAAACCGAGGGUUAUAAAUCGGGGGGGGGGGCAGGGGGCGGCGGACAUUAUUCUGGCUCGCGCCCUCCUGUCCCUUUGCUCUCGCUCCGCUCUUCGCAACAGACGCACUGCGGCGCCCGCUGCUCCGAGCAGAACUCCUUCGCCGUCCAUCUUCCUUCUUCCUUCGAUCAUGUCGCUGCCAUCGGGCUCCUGGAUGGGCUCGAACGUCACCUCCGAGGACAUCACCCAACUCCGGGCGACGCGGCGCCUGUCGCGGGAGACGGACGUCGGCGUCCGCCUGCCGCGUGGCGAGCAGAGGCCUCGGCCCGAGGGGCAGGAGCGCGUGGUCUUCCUCACGCACUUCGAGCGCGGGUUCGGGCUGCCGGCGAGCACCUUCUUUCGUGCUUUCCUGGAGUUCUUGGGCUCCAGCCGCAUCAUCUUGGCGCCGGUGCCAUUGUCCAGCUCUCCGGCUUCGUCACCCUCUGCGAGGGGUACCUGGGGGUCGAGCCUACGAUCGACCUCUGGGCGCGCUUCUUCUCCUUGAAGCAGCAGGGCCCGUCGGUCGGGGAGUUCGCCGAUUGCGGCGCCGCCGUCAUCUCGAAGCGGUCGGGGGCGGAUUUCCCCAAGAUCCCGCUGGAGGACUCUCCCAAGAAGUGGCAGAACUCCUUCUUCUACGUCCGCAACCUUGGAGCGGAUCGUAUCAAUCUGCCGGCCUUUGCCAUCGCACCGCCGCGGGCGAAGACGAACUGGGGCUACUCGCCCAAGCGCCCGUCGCAAGAGAUCGUUAAUAUUUGCGAGCGGGUGACGGUGAUGAGGACGCAGGAGGGGCUCACCGGCACCGACCUCCUCGCCGCGUUCAUCAUGCGCCGGGUCCUUCCGCUUCAGGGGCGCUCCUGCCUCAUCGGCGAAAUGGUCGGCCUUCAAGACCCCAACCGCAUGGGGUCGACGUGGCUAUCCGCGGAGCAGGUCGCGCGCGGCGUGAACGACAUCUCCAAGGCCAACCUUGGGGAGGACUGGCGGUUCGGCAAGGCGCUGUACAGCUAGUCGAACCCGGCGCCACAGGUGAGUGUCUGGUCUUCUCACUUUGCUGCCGUGCACCUUCUCAUCCGUCCUGACGCGACGCGGGGGGUACUUCUGAACGUGAUUCGGCAUCCUUACGUUCGGGCUCCGUCGCAGGUGGAGCCGGUGGCACUGGAGGAGCUCGUGGCUCGUGGCGGGGAGGAGGAGGCCGAGUUCGACGCCGGCGCUGGGCGUCGCAUGGGUAAGUCUUGCGUUUUUCUUCAUGUGUCUUGAAUUGCUGACCCCGGCACGGAACGGCAGGUGCUGACGCCAGUUGUUGGUGUAGUGGCGUUGGGCGGGGGAGGCGGCGACGCGGGCGGAGCCGGGUCCUCGCAUGGGGCAGCGCCGAGCCGCCCGCAUGGGAAAGACAGCGUCGUGCCGCGACCCCGGGCCCCGAAGCGCACGGCGGACCCGGCCGAGGCCGGGAGGCCAGCCAAGAGGAAGCGCGGCGGCAGGCACGGGAGGCCAACCCCGGUCCCGGUCUUGGCAGGGUAAGCUUCAUCUCUUGUUUGCGUUCAGGUUUUUUUUGAGCUAGUCUUGUUUCUUUUCUGCUCAUUCUGUCUUCUUCUCUAGGUCGCCAAUCGCGCUGGCAAGGGCGGCGGCGGAAGCCGCGACCACCGAAGGGGCCGCGUUCCGCAGGAGUCGGUCCGACCUUGCCGACCAGGCCGAGGCGGAGGGACGAGCCGACUCGGACCUCGGCCUGGAUCCGAAUGACAUCGAAGCCUUGGCCUGGCGGGACAGGAACCGGGCCGAGGCGGAGCUGGAGGUGGCGUCGGUCCGAGCUUGGACCGACGCGGCGGCGGCAUGGGCGCGACCCGGCGCGGAGCCGGUCUGGCGCGAGAUGCCGGAGGGCACAAUGGUGGCGGCGACGGUCUUUGAGCCGUCGUCGGUGAGGGAGCGCGGCCGUGGAGGCCGGACUGAGGUGGUGAUCCCCGACCGGGGGGUCGUGGAGGUGGAGGAUGACAUCCCGCCGCGGGCCGACGUGGCCGAGCGAGCGGGGACUGAUGGUGGUGGAGGCGGCGUCGUUUUGGAAGAGACGCUGCGGGCGGCGGUGUCGGAGGCGCCGCCGAUUUUGGAGGAGGCACCGCGGGCGGCGGUGCCGGAGGUCACCCCGGCAGCUGGGCCGGAGAUGGCGACGCAGGGCGUCCCGGCGUCCGGGUCAGGGUCGGGGACGCAGGGCGUCUCGGAGGAGGUGCUGGCCGCGUCGCGAGCGGCCAGCGAGGAGCACGCCUUGGUGCCCCGGCAGGGAGAGCGCCGAGCUGUCAUGCCGCAGCCGGCGCGGAGCGGGGGCGCCGUUGUCUUUGGUCCUCAGACCCAGGAGGAGGCGGCGCUGGACGCCGUCAGUCGCCGCCUGCGAGGUCGGACGGAACGGCUCGAGGCCUUCGCCCAGGCCGAGGUGGAGCGGUCGCGCGACCUGGAGCGCGCCGUUCUGGUAAGUCUUCUUGCAAUUUUCUUCUUUGUGGGGGCGCGCCAGCGCACCCACUGGGUGUAGCCCCCGAGGUUCGGGCCAACUACAUAGUAGUUGGGUCGAAUCUUUAGAGUGUUGGCCUUGUUCUGAUUUCUGCUUUCUUCAGCAUCUCGACGCCUUCCGGGUCGCCGCCUACAAUCGUCUCCUGGGCAAGCACCGGGAGCUCGUGGAGCGGCUUGCCGCCAAGGAGGAGGAGCUCCGCGUCGCCGCAGGUAUCCUUGUGCUCUUUUCUAGUGGGGAUGCGCUAGCGCACCCACUGGGUGUAGUCCCCGAGAUUCGGGCCAACUGUGUAACAGUUGGGCCAAAUCUUAAGUCUUGCUUUUUUCUUCUGCUGAGUCCUUUUUUUCGCAGCCGAGGUGCUGUCCUGGCGGACUCGUCUGCUCCGGGCCGGUCAUCACUAUGACUGGCUCAUUGCCGACACCGGCCGUCUUGGCGUCGAGGCAGCGCAGGCGAGGGCGGAGGCGGCCGCGGCUCGGCGGUCUCUCGACGAGGCCAACUGGCUGCAUGAGCAGCUGGCGGGUCACAACAGCCGCCUCGAGGCCGAGGUGGAGCUCCUUAAGGCGGAAGCCUCCAAGGUGGCAGAGGCGCAGCAGGCCCUGGUGGAGGCGGACCAGCAGCGCGGCCAGCUGGCCGACGACAAGGGCCGGCUCCAGGCCGAGGUGGAUCGCCUGCGGGGGCAGGUCACCACGGCUGAGGGGGCCCGUCAGGACGAGGCCCGUCGUCGCGAGGCGGCCGAAGACAAGGACGCCGAGCUGAAGGCGGCCCUUGCCAAGGCGGCCGAUCUGGAGAAGGCGCUCGAGGAGCGCGACCGCGCCAUCGAGCGGGAGUGGCGCGGUACGUUGCUUGAGGCGCAGCACCUGGAAGAGUCCUUCUCCAGUAAGUGCUUUUUUCUUGUCGUUUGCCGGGUCGGGAUUCGGCCUUUCUUCCUGGUUGUUCUUCUUCUAACUCGCUUCUUCCUUUGCGGCAGGGGCCUUCCCAGAGACGCAACGGCUGGCGGAGGAAGCCGUCCGCUAUCAGCGUGACCCGACCGGCGUCGUUGGGUCCGGGACGAAUCCGCGGGUGGCCUGGACCUUCCCGGAGAUCAUCGCCGCCGCUGAGGCCCACCUGCAGGUUCUGGGAACGCAGUUGGGGCGGCUGUCCCAGGCUGGCAUCGCGAUGACGGCGGCCCUAUGGCCGGACUCCGUCCAACCGAGCAGCUUCUCGCGCCUGGCGCGUUGGUUGGAGAUGGGGCCGGACCGGCUUGGCAAGUGGCGCGUCUCCGCCGCUCGUGCCGAUGCUGAGAUGGCGCUCUGGUUCGCGCUGUCCUGGCAUCUGGACCUGCAGCUGGACGCGUUGAUGGGCCAGCGGGCCGGUUCGGAGCAGCUCUUGCAGGUGCAAGCCGGCCGAAUCGCCUCCCGGGCCAGCUACAUCGUCGAGUUCGCCUUCCACGACGAGUUCCAUCCGGAGCGGACGGAAGACGGCGGGGUCGUGGAUGGCGACGACUACGGCUUGCUCCUCCACGAUCCGGAGGGGAGCUCGGAGGAGAAGGGCGUCUACCACGACGCGGAUGCUGAGGAGGGCACUUGCACCUCGCUGGACCUGGAGGCCGCGAGGGGAGGGCCGUCGAUGUCGCGACGCGGCGCUGGAGAUGCCUGAGACACUUUGUGUAAAAUUUGUUAAAUAGCAGGUCCACCCACCCACUGGGGGUUUUAGGGUGUAAUGAACUCGGGCCGUGGGCCUUUUCUUAAAUACUUGCAGAUGUCGUGGGUGCUUUUGCUUUUUUGCCUUCCGUUUUUUGGACCGCUUUCAUGCGCUUUUCCUUUCUCAAACCUCCCCCUCCCCCGCGAGUCAGACGGCCGAGGCUCCGGUCCAUGACAAGGAGUUCGGUUCUUUGAGAGGAGCGCGCAGGACUUGGGUCCCUCGAAAUGUUGAGCGCGAGCGAAACACCCACUGGGCCGGCUGGCGGCAAUCCGGCGAAGCCGGUUGGCGAGCAGCCGGUCGUGCGGCUGUUCAUUUGAUGAAUGGCGGACCGGGUUGAUCGACCCGGCGACCUUUGGCUUAGUGUAUGAAGCUUAAAGGAGUUUUGGCCCGUUGUGCUUGCCAGCCGACAGCCAAAGCUGGAUCUGUGGCUUUAGGGCAAAGUGGGGGACCGCGACAUCCUAACUUUAUCAGGAAUCACCAAGUAAGGCGGCGGGGUAGCGACCGAGCCGGCCAGCCCCCGAGCCCCUGGGUCGAGCGAGUCGGACCGGUGGCCGGGUUCAGUGGUAUAGUGAUGCAAGAAAAUAGGGACACAAUAAAUUGGUCGACAAAAGGCAGCCCCCGAGUCUCGUUCGGGGACCCCAUAGUUUCAUGCGUUUACAAAAGGUGAUGACACAUACACUCGUGUGGCUAACUGUAAAACGGGUGGAGGAGCUCCGCGUUCCACGGCCGGGUCGUUUCUUCACCGGCGGUGUCCUUCUUGCGCUUCCUCGACUUGCGUGCGUCGAUGAGGUAGUAGGCGUUGUGGUCGCGCAAGGCCCUGCUCACGAUGAAUGGGCCCUCCCAUGGAGGGGACAGCUUGUGCUGGCCUGCCUGCUCUUGGACGAGUCAGAGGACGAGGUCACCCUUGCGGAACGCGAGGGGCUUGAUCUUCUUGCUGUGGUAGUGCCUCAGGCCUUGCUGGUAGAUGGCCGAGCGACUAAGCGCCAGGAGGCGUGUUUCUUCGAGCAGGUCGACACCAUCUUCGCGGGCUUCUCUGGCUUCGGCUUUGGUGUACAUCACGACGCGCGGCGAGUCGAACUCGACGUCCAUCGGGAUGACGGCUUCGGCUCUGUAGACGAGGAAGAACGGGGUGAACCCAGUCGACCGAUUCGGUGUGGUGCGUAGACUCCAGAGAACGGCUGGCAACUCGUCAAGCCAGCUGCCGGGUGAGCGGAUGAGCGGCUCGACGAGUCGCGGCUUGACGCCGGACAGGAUGAGUCCAUUGGCCCGCUCGACCUGCCCGUUGGACUGCGGAUGCGCAACGGAGGCCAGGUCGAGGCGGAUGCCGGAGACGGAGCAGUAUUGCUCGAGCGCGCCCUUGGCGAAGUUGGUGCCGUUGUCGGUGAUGAUGCUGUUCGGCAUGCCGUAGCGCACCGCUAUGUGCUUGAUGAACCGGACGGCUGUUGGCCCGUCCAGUUUCUUGAUUGUCUUGCCUCGAUCCACUUGGUGAAUUUGUCCACUGCCACCAGCAAGUGCGUCAUGCCGCCUCGGGCGGUUUUGAAGGGUCCCACCAUGUCGAGUCCCCAGACCUCGAAGGGCCAGGCGAUCGGUAUGGUGCGGGGUGCUGACACCGGCUGGUGGCUGCGUUUGCUGAAGCGCUGGCAUCCCUCACACUUGAGGACGAGCGACUCGACGUCUUGGAGGGCCGUGGGCCAGUAGAAGCCGUGGCGGAACGCCUUGGCCACCAGGGAUCGCGACGUGGCGUGGUGCCCACACUCGCCCCAAUGUAUGUCGAGGAGGAUAUUGAUGCCCCGCUCCCGCUCGACGCAGCGCUGGAACACGCCGGUGGAGCUGCGCUUGACGAGCUCGUUGUUGAUGAUGCUGUAGGCGGACACCCGGCGCUGCACUUGCCGAGCUUCGGUCUCGUCCAUGGGGAGAACCCCGUUCUCCAAAAAUUCUGAUAUUGAGAGGGCCCAAGAUGGAGCCGUAACCACGACGAAGACGGCCACCAGGGUGGGUUCCGAGUCGGCAGCCCCCGACCCGGGUUGAGCAGCCCCCGGGUCGGGGAUGGCGAUGGCCGGGUCCGGGACGAUGGUGGCCGAGUAGAGCUGAGCAGUCCCCGGGCCGGGUUGAGGUGCGGCCGGGUCGUCUGGAACGUGGAUGGACUCGGAGUCCGGCGAUGGCUUGACGGACGGCUUGCGCAGGUGCUCGAGGGAGACGUCGGACGGGAUGGCUUGUCGUGACGAGGCGAUCUUGGCGAGCGUGUUGGCUGCUUCGUUCUCCGCGCGCGGGACGUGGAGGAACUCGCAGCCCUCAAAGGAUCCGGACAGCUUCUGGACGAGGAAGCGGUAGCUUGCCAUGUUGGAGUCACGGGCGUCCCAUUCGCCAGAGCAUUGCUGCACCACCAGGUCCGAGUCGCCGUAGCACAGGAUGCGCCGGAUGCCGAGUCCCUUGGCCAGCCGGAGGCCGUGCACAAGGGCUUCGUACUCGGCGACGUUGUUGGAGGCGGCGAAGUGGAUCUGGAGCGCGCAGCGGAGCCGGUCGCCCUUUGGAGACGACAGUACGAUGCCGGCCCCCAAACCGAGUCGCAUCUUGGACCCGUCGAAGUGCAUGCGCCAAUGCGUCGAGUCGGGAGGCGGCGGCAAGUACUGGGUUUCGGUCCAGUCGACGAGGAAGUCGGCCAGGGCUUGAGACUUGAUCGCGGUGCGGGGCUCGUAGAGGAUGGUGUGGUCAGCUAGCUGGAUCGCCCAUUUGGCAACCCGGCCAGAGGCAUCCCGGCACCCGAUGAUUUCUCCGAUAGGCGCCGUGUAGACCACGGUGACGACGUGCUCUUGGAAAUACUGCUUCAGCUUCUUGGCGGUGAAGUACACGCCAUAACACAUCUUCUGAUAGUGCGGGUAGUUCUACUUGGAGAUGGAGAGCACCUCGCUUAGGUAGUAGACUGGGCGCUGGACGGCUUGGAUCUUGCCCUUCUCUGGUCGCUCGACCACCAGCACCGUGCUGACCGCGCGCGAGGUCGCGGCUAUGUAGAGCAACAGCGGCUCCUUGCCGGUCGGCGCAGCCAGGACUGGCGUGGUGGAGAGCAUGCGCUUGAGGUCUUGGAAGGCCUCGUCUGCCUUGCCGUUCCAUUCGAACAGGCUCGUCUUCUUCAUCAGCUGGUACAGGGGUAGCGCCCUCUCGCCCAGCCGGCUUAGAAACCGGCUGACCGAGGCCAAGCAUCCGGUGAACUUCUGGACAUCGCGCAGCCGAGCCGGCUUGCGCAUGCGCUCGAUGGCCAUGAUCUUCUCCGGGUUCGCCUCAAUGUCGCGUUCCGAGACGAGGAAGCCGAGUAGCUUUCCGGCCGGGACGCCGAAGACGCAUUUUUCCGGGUUAAGCUUGACCUUGUAUUCGCGGAGGUUGGCGAAGGUUUCCUUGAAAUCGUCGAGGAGCGUGAGGUGCUGCUUGGUCUUGACCACGAUGUCGUCCAGGUAUACGUGGAUAUUGCGGCCGAGUUGCGGCAGCAGACAUUUCUGCAUGCAGCGCUGGAAGGUGGCGCCAGCGUUCUUCAAGCCGAACGACAUGGUGAUGUAGCAAUACGCCCCAAAGGGCGUGAUGAAGGACGUCUUCAGUGCAUCGGCCGGGUCCAGCUUGAUCUGGUGGUAGCCGGAGUAAGCGUCCAGGAAGGACAGGAGCUCACACCCGGCGGUCGAGUCGAUGACUUGGUCGAUCCGCGGGAGGGCGAACGGAUCCUUGGGACAGGCCUUAUUGAGGCUGGUGUAGUCGUUCACAUGCUCUAGGUCUUGUUCUUCUUCAGGACGAGGAUCGGGUUGGCUAGCCACUCGGGGUGAAAUACUUCCAUUAUGAAGCCGGCCGCCAAAAGCUUGGCGACCUCUUCACCAAUGGUUCUUCUCUUCUCUUUGGAAAAUCAUCGUAGGGGUUGACGGACAGGCUUGGCGUCCUUGCGGAUGUGAAGUUUGUGCUCGGCGUACUUCCUCGGGAUACCCGACAUGUCCUUGGGGGUCCAUGCGAAGAUAUCCCGAUUCUCACGGAGGAAGUCGACGAGCUCGCCUUCCUAUUUGCUGUCGAGGCGGGCGUCUACGACAACGUACUUGCUGCAGCUGGGGUCUUCUGGGUUGAGCUUCACUUUCUUGGUCUCCUUGGAGGGCUUGAAGGUGGCCUCGUCGGCGGGGUCCGGGGUCGGGAUUGACGCGGUGGAGGCCUCGCCUGCCAGGGCGACGAUCCGGUCAAGCUGGCGCUGCUCCUCGGCAAUGACCAGCGACUCGGCCAACUUGGAGCCGUCUCGGGCGCACUCCAGGGACGUGCGGUAAUCGCCGGUGAUGGUGAUGAGGCCCUUGGGACCCGACAUCUUCAUCUUCAGAUACGCGUAGUGGGGAACCGCCAUGAACUUGGCGAGCGCGGGCCGGCCCAACAACGCGUGAUACGCACUGGACAGGUCCACCACCUCGAACCAGAUCGGUUUGCGCCGGAAGUGGCCGCUGUCACCGGACAGGACAUCUAGCCGGACCCGGCCAAUGGGGGAGCAGGAGAGGCCGGGUACGAUGCCGUGGAAGAUCGUUCGGGUUGGCUCCAGGUCCUCGGCCUUGAGGCCGAGCUUGGUCAUCGUGUCGCGGUAGAGGAUGUUGAUGCUGCUGCCGCUGUCGAUGAGGACUCGGGAGAACUUGCAUGUGCGCCGCGCGAUGAUGGUGGGGUUGAGGACGAGGGCGUAACCACCCGGGCUCGGCAUGACUGCCGGGUGAUCCUCCUGGGUCCAGGUGAUCGGGCGAUCCGACCAAUGCAUGAACUCCGGUUUGGCCGGGACGAUGGUGUUCACCUCCUGCCGAAGGAGGCGCUCGCUGCGCUUUGUCGUCGCCGAGGCUGGUGAAGACGACGUAGGCCGCGCUCUGGUCCGGGUAGGCGUCGUCGCGCAUCGCGCCGCCAGCCGAAGGCGGCGGUGGAGGCGGAGGCGGUUGUCCCGCACCUGGAGCCGGAGGAGGCGGGACGUCGCCCCUCAUGAUGCGCUUGCUGAUGGCGCACUGCCGAAGCGUGUGCGUGGAGGGUCUUGCGCCGCUGUGGUGCUUGCAGGGGGCGUCGAGCAUCUGCUCGAAGCUCAUGGCUGGUUGCCAUGCCGUCUUGCCGGUUUGCCGGCGCUUCGCCGCCGGGUUCGCCGCGGGCUCGGUGGCCGCGACGAGCCGGUUGUUGUGACGCGGCGCCGGCUGGUCGGCCUUGCGUUUGUUGUUCUGGUGAUGCUGCUGCCGGCUGCUUUCGCCGGCCGGCUUCGGAAGGGGAACCGGCUUCGCCUUGCCGGCUUCAUCCAGCGCCACCUGGAUCUUCAUGGCGGAGUCGGCGUUGGCGUCCUUGUCCGCCGUCAUCAUGAGCGCGGCCAUGGUGGCCGGCUCGGAGCAUAAGAGCUUGUGCUUGAGGAGGGUGCCGUCUCGGCACCCGCUGACGAAUUACUGGAUCGCCUGGACUUCAUGGACACCCUCGCAGCUGUUCCGGAGCUCGGUCCAGCGUGCGAGGUAGUCGCGGCCGGUCUCCGUAGGCCCUUGCACGCACAUGGCGAGCUGGCUAGGGCGGCCGGGUCGUUUGUAGGUCCCCGUGAAGUUGCGGACGAAGGCUUCCUCAAAGUCCACCCACGUGUUGAUGCUGCCCAUCGACAGGCUGUUCAACCACGUGCGGGCCGACCCUUGGAGCAUGAGCGGUGCGUAGCGCACGGCGAGACGACGAUUGGCACCGGUGAUGCCAAUGGCCGUGGUCGGUGAGCCAGUCUUCUGGCUUCACCGUCCCAUUGUACUUGGGGGUGUCGCGGGGGAGCAUGAAUCCUUUGGGGAAGGGUUCCUCUCGGAUGCGCGGGCCGAAGCACGCUGGCCCGAUAGCGCCGCUCUCCUCCACCUCCAGGGAGCGAGCGAGCUGAUCGAGGCGGUGGCGAGCGUCGGUGUUGUCGAUGGCGCGCGGGCCGAGUCGACUUGCGGCCAGGCCACGGGGGGGGGCGGGUCGGUUGGAGCCGGACGCCGGCCAUGCUGGCCGGGUCCGCGCUGGGUCUCUAGGACGGGCUCGUUGCCCAAUCCACCGGCGGCUGUAGCGGCCGGAACACGCCGACUCCGGGCUUGGCCGGAGUGCGCCUCGCCGGGUGGCGAGGAAGCGGUGUGCAGAAGCUCGCCAGGCCCGCCAAGGCGGGCGGAGCCGGACCCCGCCGGCUUGGCGAGCUGGUUGAGGCGGUCCUGCUGGGUGUUGGCGGCGUGGAGGAGUUCGCGCAUCCGCCCGAUGCGCUCUUUCAGCUCCUCACCCGCGAGCUGGUCCAGGCCGACUGCGGCUGCCUGGGCAGCGCGCAUGUUCUUCGAUGGGGUAUCGUAGACGGUUGGGACGGCGCCGAGGGCCCGGCCGAUCGCUCCUCCCCGGGCACGCACAUCGGCGACCCGGCUUGGCUCGGCCGCGGCGGGCGUGAAUCCGUAGGCGGCGUCGCGCUCCAGCUGAGCGGCGUCCAGGCGAUGCUGAGUGGCGGCGAGCGUCUCAGAUAGGUCCAGCAUCUGCUGGCGCCUUUCCUCGAGCUGGGUUAGGGCCUCAGCGACGUUGGUGGCGUCGACAUCGGUGCCGAUGGGGAUGCGGAGGCUCUGCAUCGCGGCGCGCAAUGGAUCGGACGGCUCAAUCCGAUCCGCUGCGGCCCUGGCUUCGGCAGCCUUCCUCGUCUUGCUCGACGAGGAGGAGGCGUCGUCGCCGGUGACGAAGACCUCCACAUGGACAUCCAUUGCCCCGGCGGAAACGCCGCCGCCGAGGGAGAGGGGAGAGUCGGAGUAGCUGAGCACCUCGCUGGGUUACUCGUCGGUCGCGAACGCAUCGGAGAUGCGCAGUGCGGCGAAGGAGGCGACAAGCGCGCCGACGACGUCGUCUGCCAGAGCGACGGACUCGUCGGCGUAGGAGAAGGGCCCCGUCCAAAGCAUGCUCCCGGCCAACUCCUCGAGCUGCCCCACGGUGGGCGCCAACUGUCGUGGUGGGCUCACGGCAGAUGCCAAGGGAUGGCUAAAGAGAGGAGGAGGCUUGAGGGCACUGGUGGGCUCCAGAGGCGAGGUUGGCAUGAGCGGGCGUGGGACGCCGGACAUACCCAGGUUCGGGGCUCUCGGGAGAGAUAAUACCCCUAGUCCUGCCGAGUGUAGUUGGAUGAUCGAUAGUACAAUGUUGCUCCUGGAGCUGUAUGAAGGAGGAAGGAAGCUGGCCAAGGCUUGGGCUGCUCCUUCUCUCCGGUGUUGCUGUUUCGUGGCUAGUCCUGCUACUUCCGCCCCCUAAUGAUCGUGGGCUCCCGGGGGUUUUAUAGUCCAACCCCUCGGAGGUACAAUGGUAAUGUUAUAAGUCGGUGGGUCCGUGUAGUCGGUGUCCGGGGACCCGGGCUGGGCCCCGCUGAGGGCUUGUGGUUCGCCGGGUUCCCCUAGGUGCGGGCCCCGCCAGCCUAGGGGGACUGUGCGCCGUCUUGUCGAUCGUCAGGGCGUGGCCGAGUCGAGCCGCGUACAGUGCUCUCCUUCAGGUUGCCGCUUGCUGUCGUCAGCGGUGAGGGUGGGGGCACUGUUGCCACGACGGCCCUGGUCAGCGGGUAGGUGAGGGGCACUGUUGCCACGUUCCUGCUGACCAGAGGCAUGGGCGGGGCACUGUUGCCUCGGUCAUCGUUGAUUGAAGUCUUGUCCCCGUCAUACGGCCUCGAUGGGACGGGAGUUGACCCGCGGCUGGAUUGCGUAGCACGCCAUGGGUGGCGCUGGCUUGGUGAGGAGGCCUUGGCCGUGCCGGGUUCGGCUGUCUUGCGUCAGUUGUUGAGGCCGAGUCGACGUGUCUUGCCGGGUCGGCUAGUCUGGCCGGCUUGGGGGGCUUGGCCGGGUCGAGCGACCCGGCUAAGCGCGCGCCGGUAUUGAGGGGCGGUGCCAACCCCGUUGUUUUUUGAAGAGGAUCCGGGUUCCGUUGCCUGCCCGGGGCCCAUCCCCCCGACACCAUAAGUGAAACCUCCACGGAUUGAUACCUUGGUUUCUCAGCUGCAGAGCAUUCAACUAUCACAGGAAUACAGUUACAUCCACAGAUUGGUACAUUGGUUUCUAACUGAGGGAAGGCUUGUUGCGUACUACAAACUCCUACUUCGAGGAGCCCAACAAAGGUUAGCCACCGUUAGCAGCACUACCCUACAUUAUUGUGAUCCAUCUAAUGUAACUUUUAUGGUGUGUUUGUUGUAGUGUGAUGAAUUGUAAUUUUAUGAUCAUAUUUAUAUAUGAUUUAUUCAUGGAUUAAUUUUAGUUCUUUGCUGCAUAAUUUAUAUACAUAUAUGUUCUUUGAUCUACCAGUCCUUCACUAGCCAUGUUUAGAUGAAUGAUCUCCAAGAGGCAGUUGUGUAUGUUAGUUGGGUUCAAUCUUUCAAGUAAUCUACCAUAGUGAUAGAAACAUAAAAGGGUUUCUAUUGUGUUGUUGCCAUUAAGGAUAAAAACAAAGUUGUGUAGUUGUCCUUUAAACGCAGGGUGAAGACAAUAUACUAUCUACAUCAUGUCAUCAUAAUUAAUUUGAUACUCGGUUUUACACAAUACUUUGAUAUGCAUCUUGGAUAGUGGUCUUGCGGUAAAAUAUUAGCUACAGAUGAUGUUUGAUUAACGGUCUAUAUAUGUAUCGAUGUGAUGCCUAUAUGCAAUUAUGCCAUGUACGAUCAUAAUCAUAAAAGCUGCAAUUUUAUCGAUAUGCAACUUUAAUUUGUUCACCAUGUCAUGUUACCUUUUAUGGAGAGAUGCCACUAGUGAAAUUAUGAUCGUUUCCACUCAUCCCUAUUGCUAUCAAUCUCAAUCAACGUUAUCUCAGUUCCAUUUACAAUCUGAAAUUUUAUUUCUUUAGUUGAAAUAAAUACUUCCAAACACAAGUUGCAUUAAUACUUGAAAGUAGCAAGACUAGAAAUCUUACUAGUUUCGUUGGGGGCCAAGACAAGUUCUGUAUUUGUGUGUGUAGGUACUGAUCAUUAGCGUAGUACAAGUACUCUUAUUAGUUUGAUAAAACCACUUGAGAAAAAUUGAUGCUUGCUAUAAACCUACGCACUUGGGGCUAAUUUUUUUUCCUAGAUUAGGGGAAGCAAGGCCCUCUGUCCUCAUGGAGAGGUGGGUAGAUUGGCCGCGCUUUUUCUCCUAGGUCAUGUAUGAUCAAUGUACAUUAUUUAGUUGAUUGGUAACAAAAUGCGAUAUUUGCCAAAUGAAAUUCAAAAAGGGAAGGGCAUAUGCAAAUUGUAGUAUGUAGUCUUAAUUACCUCUGUUUAUUUUCUAUGAAGGAAAUGUAACUGAAACCGUAAAGACCAUCAAAAGAGAGUAUUUGGAGGCCACUCAAGCUUGCACGCACUGUGCAUGUCUUUUUUAACUGCGUACAAGAAGCACUGCCUUCUUGCUGAUAUUUCUGAAACUUUGGGCAUCGUAUUGUCAUUCUCUGGACUCUAUGCAACAUGCAUCGUUCACCAUUGUGGCCAAUCCUGAGGGCAAAGUGUCGAGAUGUGGACGGGGAGCCAUUCACCCUUGGGUUAGACGGUCAAUAGGACCACUUGACAUGUAGGAUUGGCAGAGGCUUUCCAAUGAACUCAUGACGACGCGGUUGACAGUGCAUGAUGACACUGUAUCCUGGAGACUUGAGUCCUCGAGGGUAUUCUCCACAGGUUCCCUAUACGAAGAGAUCAUCAAGUCUUUGAGGCUCGGUGAAUUAGGGGUAUUUGGAGAGCGAGGAUCCUGACAAAAAAUCAAAAAAUUCCUCUGGCAAAUGCCUAGGAACAGGAUCCCUAGUGGGGACAAAGCUCUCAAAAGACAUCGUUCAAGGGAUGGGACGUGCUUUGUUGUGUGGGCACGACAAUAAUUCUGAUCACAUAUUUUUUAUAUGCAUUGUAGCCAAAAGAUUUGAGUGUAAUUAGGGACGCCAGGGGAUGCUCUUGGAACCCCAUCGGGUUCGUAGAAUUUCAUUGACUCAUUCAAGGAAUCAAGGGUGAGUGACACAAAAAUAGAUUGGUUGACCUUUGCGGCGUUGGCAUGGGCCUUAUGGAAUGCUCAAAAUAAAGGCUUGAGGAAGGGCAUUUUCUUCAAUCAUCUAACCGACCUUCCUUCCAUUUGAGCACUACAAAGUUCAUGCUCGGUCAUUUGUGGCCCUGUAUUGGAACUAACUUAGUUUUGCACUUGAUGACAUGUGUUGUAAACCUUAAGGGCCUCAUUCUAAGCGCUUCUUUAUCUCACCUAAAGCGGAACCGAUGCGGCACUCGCCUACACGCUUGCCUGAGUAGGCCGGGCUGAUAAUGUUUGUUUGUGAGCGGUUUUCGGAAGCUUCCAUGUAUAGUGCACACUGGUUUUGAGAACCAUCCACCCAAUUUUGGAAAGGUUCUAACUGAUUUUUCCAUUUCUCUAUUUUAUGCGUUUUUUUCUUAAUCGGUUUUCUAUUUUUUUUGUUUUUUGUUUCUCUUUUUGCAUGUUUCUCUCAAAUAUGAAAGGAAAAUACAACUAUGUUAUCUACUCUUUUUAGCUCGCAUACCUAAGCUAGAUCUAGUCGAACGGGGCACACACGUAGAUGUAAAAUAGGUGUGGCUUCGCGAGCACCCGAUUGAGAGUGACCGAUCCAGUUCGGAAGCCUGCGCACUGCGUUCGUUCACUAGCUUUUUUCGGUCUUUAACUAGCUUUUUCCCCUCGUUCACUGGAUGUUUUUGUGUUUCUCUUCUCUGGAUUUAAUUAUUAUUUUUCGUUUUUCUUUUUGCAUGUUUUCUAUUUUUAUAGGUUUGACGUACACCGUGGACAUUUUUACAUAGUGAUUUUUCUCAAUAUAUGGUGAAUAUUUAGGAAAUACACUUAAUUUUUUUAAAUAUACCAUGAACAUUUUUCUACAUUGAACAUUUUUUAGUCUACUAUAAUUUUUUAAAAAUUAUACAUCAAACAUAUUUUAAUACUCACUAGAUUUUUUUAGUAUAUUUUCAAAAUACACUGAUUUGUUUCUAACAAAAUACGGCUUAAUUUUCUAAAAUAAUUUUAAUAGUUUUUGUUGAGAAAAUUGUCAAAAAAUCAAAGUAGAAAAAAAGAUUUUAAAACCACCCGCUGUAGAGUGGGCCAGCCCAUUUGCCUAGGCUUUUGAGGCAGAGCGUCCCCUAUUUGAUGCCAACGGCGGCAGUAGGAGGGGAGCUCUCAGGGCGCUUUCUAUUUAGCGCUGCAGGCGACAAUUUGUAUGCAUUUUGCAAACUGGUGCCUGCAGACCUCCGCGCUGGGCCGGCCCAACUCAGUGUCCCUUUGACUUUCUAAAACGCAAUAAAAUGGCGCGCACACAGAAAUUCGACCCAGUUACCUCCUGCUAGCUGGAAUAAUGCGCUAAAAGUGAAAGAAAAUUUGCUGGAACUAUAUCAUAGAGAGGAGCUGAUGUGGAGGCAACGUGCUAGAGCGGAAUGGUUAAGGCAGGGGACAAAAAUACUAGAUUUUCCACCUACGUGUUAGUAUGCGUAGAAGAAAAAACAUGAUAAAAUUACUGGUACAGGAGGAUGGAAACACUAUAGAGGACAUUCACUCUAUGAAGGAGCUGGUCAAUACUUUCUAUAAUAAUCUCUACACCUCUCAAGGAGUCCAUGAGAUGGAUGAGGUGUUGAAUUCCGCACCGGUUAAGGUGACAGCUCAAAUGAAUGAGCAUUUGACUGCCCCCUACACAGCCGAAGAGGUGAAGGUAGCUCUUUUCCAGAUGGCUCCAACUAAAGCUCCGGGCCCCGAUAGUUUUCCUGCUCAAUUUUUUCAAAGGCACUGGGAAGUAUGUGGUGAGGAGGUAACGAGGGUGGUUCUCUGUGUUGUGUCAGGAACGGAGAGUGCUGGUGAGAUAAACAACACUGUCCUCGUUUUGAUCCCAAAGGUAAAAUCUCCAACAAUGCUCACCCAAUUUCGUCCCAUCGGUUUAUGUAAUGUUUUGUACAAGAUAGCUUCCAAGGUAAUUGCAAAUAGAUUGAAAGUGAUCCUGCCGGACAUUAUCUCUAAGGAGCAGUCGGCGUUCGUUCCAGGCAGAUUAAUCACUGAUAAUAUUAUUGCGGCUUAUGAAUGUCUCCACCUCAUGAAGCGAAACAAGGCACAAAUUCAUAGGUCGUGUGCAUUGAAACUGGACAUGAUGAAGGCAUAUGACCGUGUUGAAUGGGACUAUUUGAGGGCAAUCAUGCUCAAACUGGGCUUCUCUCAAAAUUGGGUAAACAUUGUUAUGGGAAUGGUUAGUUCAGUUCCAUUCCCGUUUUUGUUUAAUGGAGAAAAGCUUGAAGAAUUCAGACCUACUCGUGGCAUUCGUCAAGGGGAUCCUAUUUCACCCUAUUUUGUUUUUGCUGGCAGCAGAGGGCCUUUUGUGCCUUUUAAAAACUCGUGUUCAGUCAUCUAAUCUUGGGGGCAUAAAAGUGGCUACAACGGCUCUACCGGUGAACCACUUGUUGUUUGCAGAUGACAGCCUGCUGUUUUCCAAAGCAAAUUCGGAGGGGGCGGAAGCAGUGUCUCUUUUGUUAGAAGCCUAUGCUAGAGCAUCUGGACAGAGAAUGAAUAAAGACAAAUCCUCAUUAUUGUUCAGUAAAGGGUGUCCAGUAACGGUGAGAGAACAGGUGAAGGGAAUUUUGCAAGUUCGCAAUGAGCAACUCAGCGAGAAAUAUUUGGGUAUGCCCACAGAUGUAGGAUCAUCUAAAAAUGGGGCCUUCAAAUAUUUUGUCGACCGUCUAUGGAACAAGAUUAGGGGCUGGAUGGAGAAAACACUCUCUGCUGCGGGUAAAGAUGUUCUAAUCAAAUCUGUUGCACAAGCUAUCCCUGUCUUCUCGAUGUCGUGUUUUAAGCUUCCUCGUGGGUUGUGUGAAAAAUUAACUUCUUCUAUCCGGGCCUUCUGGUGGGGAAGCAAACGGGGGAAGCGAAAACCCUAUUGGGUUUCAUGGGACAAAAUGACCAUGCCAAGAUACAUGGGUGGACUUGGUUUCAGGGAUUUUGAAUUGUUCAGUUUGGCUCUUUUGGCAAGGCAAUCGUGGAGGAUACUAGUUCCCCCCAACAGUCUCAGUGCUCGUAUUCUGAAUGCUGUGUAUUUUCCUGCAUGUUCCAUCCUUGAAGCCAACUUGGGAAAUCAUCCUUCACAGGUUUGGAGAUCAAUUGUGGGGGGUAGGGAUAUUAUGAAACAGGGCUUGGUCAGGCGUAUUGGUGAUGGCUCAUCCACGGAAAUCUGGAACACAAAUUGGAUACCUAGACCGGAGUUCAUGAGGCCAUUGGUGUCUAGAGUGGAGGACCCGCUUGUCUCUGAAUUAAUUGAUACAGCCAACGCUCGAUGGAACAUGGAGCUGGUGAACCAAGUCUUUCUGCCUUGUGACGUGGCUGAGAUCCUACAAAUCCCUAUUUGCUUGAGAAUUAUGGAUGAUUACUGGUCAUGGAUGCAUGAAAAAUCUGGGAACUUUACUGUUAAGUCCGCUUACCGUAUGAUUGUUGAAACCAAACGCAGGCUGGAGGACUGGCUAGAACAGCGCCCGGGUCCUUCGAACAGAAAGGAAGAAGAGAGGAGCUGGGUCAAACUCUGGAAAACUUAUGUUCCAGCGAAACUACGAACCUUUUUAUGGAGGCUAGUACACCAUUCCAUACCGACUGAAGAUGUGAAAAUGCAUCGGAAUAUGUCAACGUCAUGCACUUGUUCAAUAUGUGGCAUGCCGGACUCUUGGGGGCGUAGCCUUUUGGAAUGCACAUCAGCCCGAUGUGUGUGGUCACUGGUUGACAAGGAGCUGAUUGACGAGGUGAUUGAAAACAAUGAACAGAACGCGAGGAGUUGGGUCUUUACUUUGCUUGACAAGCUCCCGCAUGAGAAAUUUACCAGGUUGACAGUCACGAUUUGGGCUAUAUGGUGGGCGCGGCGUAAAUUGGUUCACGAGGGAAUUGACCAAAGCCCUCUGUCCACGUACAUGUUCAUUACCCAUUUUAUCACAAAACUAGGGGAGAUUAAUCCCAAGACUGGGAAUCGCCUAGGUAAUAUGAUGGGACCAGCACCAAGAAGAUGGAUCCCGGCUGUCCAGGGACACGCGAAUAUCAAUGUAGACGCUGCUGUCUCGCGUGGUGCUGGGAUAACGGCUGCAGUGUGCAGAGCCAGCUCGGGCACAUAUUUGGGUUCUUCAGUAUUCGUCAUACGCGGCCUUACGGAUCCAGCUAGCCUUGAGGCCAUAGCUUGCCUAGAGGGGCUGUCUCUAGCUGAAGACCUUGGGCUCCAAAAUCUGGUAAUCGCGUCGGAUUGUGAAGUAGUUGUCAAGCAUAUCAAGGAAGGCUCGGGUGGGAACUAUGGCGGAGUAGUCAAGGAGAUUCAGGAGUGGAAAAAUCUUUUUAAUUUAUGUAAUUUUAAGCUUGAAUCUAGGAGCUCAAAUUUUGAGCCACAUAGACUAGCUAGGCAUGCUCUCAAGUUGGGUCAAGGCCGCCAUGUUUGGUUGGGGCAAUCACAUGAUCCUAAUGUAAUACCUGCAGACAUAUCGAUUGAUUAAUAAAUCCUAGCAGUUUUACCUCAAGAAAUAAACUUAGGCAGCAUCGAUAGUUCAUAUCCUUUCCUUUAUUUACUUCGUUUCGCUUUCCUUUUUUUCCAUCUUUCGUUUUCUGGCUUUUUCUGCCUUAUUUGAUGAAUUUUUCUUCAAAUUCCUGAAGUUUUUUAAUUUUUCAAUGAACUUUUUUCUUAAAUCGAUGAACUAUUUUCAUUUUUCGAUGAACUGUUUUUGAAAAUCGUGAACUUUUUUCCAAUUCGAUGAACUUUUUUUCAAACUCGAUGUACUUUUUUUCAAUUUGGAUGAACUUUUUCCAAAUCUGAUGAACUUUUUUCAUAUUCGAUGAACUUUUUUUCAAAAUCGAUGAAAUUUUUUCAUAUUUGAUGAACUUUUUUUCAUAUUCGAUGAACUUUUUAAAAAAAUUGAUGAACUUUUUUUAACUCAUAAACUCUUUUUGAGUUUGCUAAUUAUUCAAAAUAUAUAAGAUAAACUUCUUUUGAAUUCGUGAACUUUUUUUAAACACAUGAACUUUUUCGAUUUGGUGAACUUUUUUUGAAUACGUGAACAUUUUUUGCAUGUUCAUGAACUUCAGUUGAAAUAUGUGAACAUGUUUUGAAAUAAUUGAAACAUCUAAACGUUAUGUAAUAAAUAGCACGUCUAACCUGCUGUUCUUAAAAGUUACGCGCUGCAAAUGGUCACGUGUAGUUAGUUGGUCGAGUGGUCAGUUGCGCUGAAUGUAAGCGCGAUGUCGCGAGUUCGAAUCUUGUCGACAAAAAUUCUUUGCGUUUUUCUUCGCGAUAUGCGGUCCUGGGCCGGCCCACCCAGAUGUCGCUGUGAGCGCCCGUUAGGUUUUUUUUUAAUGAUAAUACGUGUCUCUUUAUAAAAUAAAGAUGCGGUUACAAGACACGUAAGCACCAACAUUAUAAGGCUGAAAAGAUAGGAUAAUCCUAUGCAAAAUACCAGCGCCUGUUCCUCUCCUCUGACACCAUCGAAGCGGCCACCAAAGGGAAAGAAAACAGAUCACCUCUUCAUCCGAGCUCGACGUGGCUCCAUCGCUGAUCAGCAGCUUUACAGACCUCGAAAGUAGUUUGCCAGAAGCAAAACCAUUGCCGUUGAAAGAAUCAGACCGGGGCAACAUGUCCCCGGACACGCCAUCGAACUCUAGAUCUGACACCCCCGCACGACAACGACGUUGAAGGAGGAAACCAGAACUGUCAGCCACCAACCACAAACCCAGCACGGGAUGCACCAUCUUUCAGCUGUCACUUGCGCAGACAACCGUCUGCGCAUACUCCUGGACAAUAAAACCUCCCUGCUCCACCAUGACGUCGGAGACAAUGCCACAGCAACGAGGACAGAGUAGAAGGAGAGACACACCUGAUGGAGUCGCCGCCGCCGCCGCCUCGCCGACACCAUCCAUGAACCCAAACACAGCCGAUCUGAAGGAUCGGCAAACACACGAUGCCAUCAACUCCAAGACGCCAUGAAGGACAUCGCCGGUGUGGGAGUGAAGCUGAGGCAGAUUUAUUCGUCCGGGCGCCGCUCCCACCACCCCAACGACGCACCACGACCUACAAAUCCAAAACCUAACUACAAAGCGGAGGAACGGGGUCCCCCCUCCCUCCUGCCGCCGGAGCAGCCGGAGGGAGAGGGGGCCAACGCCCUGGCCGGCUGAGAUCGAAGGAAGAAAAUCGCCUCCCUAAACGCCAGGCGCGCCGGCGGCUAGGGUAGGGAACACAAUAUUGCCGCACCAAUCUGACAAAAGCGCCCGUUAGGUUGCGCGGCGCUGAAGGCGCGCAAAUAGGAGGUCCCAGCUCUCCGUACAUGCAUGCCGAAUUCUAGUUAGCGCUUAAGGUGCUACUUUUAGUUCUAUCGUAUGUGGCGCUCAUUAGAUAAGCAUUAUGGGCCGGCCCAUGUAAAGACGAUUCGCAGGAGACUAGUCCCGGUUUUGGAAAGUGACCGCAAGCUUCUGGUCAGGGUUUCUGUCGUCUUUGUUUUCUGGAUCGGACUUUGCUCGGUUUUAUUUAUUUUCUUUUUCUUUUUCCUUUUUUCAACUACAUAGACUUUUUUCAUACACAAAACCUAUUUUCAAAUUCGCGUGCCUUUCUUUGAAUUCAUGAACUUUUAUGAAAUCCUGAAGAUUUUUAAAUUCACAAACUUUUUCGAAGUCACAAAGUUUUUUACUUUGUGAAUAUUUUCUGAACUCUGAACAUUUUUUGAAUUGAAAAAAAUCAAACUUGUGCAAAUUUUGAAAUCCAUGAUUUCUCUCAAUUCGCAAAAAAAAAUUUGUGAUUUUUUUACGAAUUCUCAAACUUUUUGAAAUCAUGAAUUAUUUUCAGUGUGUAGAGCCGGUAAACUUUUUUCAAAUGGAUAAGGUCAAUGGUUAACUUGUCAUCAAGCAAGAAAAGAGCUUCUCUUUUGUUUUUUAGUGUAUAGCGAGCGAGCGACUGCCUCACUAGUUGUGUGAGCGAGUUAAUGGGCCACAGCCCGCAAAUGUCCACGUGAGCAUCGGCGGCAAAUUGAACGCUUGAAGUGUAUAGGAAGUCCCCAUGCCUAAGAAAGAAAUCGAGGUAAAUGGACCGACGGUGCUUUAUGGGUCGGCCCAAUACAUAGCAUGUGUACUGAAAAUGUGAGAUAAAGACAAGGACGAAUCCCAUUGUAAUGACUGGGCGAAAGGGGAGCUCCUAUUGGGACGUUCAAUGCAUCCAAUAGAGCAUGCACUAGGGGACCAUGACUGGGCUGGCACACUAACAUAGAAUCGAAGCGAGUUAAGCACAACAACACGACGCCAAACAUCCUAAAAAGAGGGCGCUUGCUAGAUCGAACUUGCGACCACAAGAACUGACCGCAUGCACCACUUGAACUGAUGGCUGCUGGUGACUAGCUUGUAGCACGAAUCUUUAAGGAUAGACAACAACAACAAUAGAGUCAAAAACAUUUAAGUUUCAAACAUUUCUUGGAAACCAUGAACAAUUUUGAAAUGCCAAUUCUUUUGAAAACAUAAUUUGUUUUUCGAAACUCCUUUUUUUUUGAAAAAUGUGAACAAUUUUGUAAUUUCGAACAUUUUUUUAAAUUCUUGAACAUUUUUUCAAUUUUUGAACAAAUUUGAAAACACAAGAAUAAUUUUUGAAAUUAUGAACAAAAAAAUGAAACUGUGAACAUUUUUUGAAAUUCAUGAAGAAAAAUAGAAAAAGGGGACAUUAUUUCAAAUUGGGCACUCAAUUUAAACCGCAAAUAUUUUCUCAAAUUGCUGAACAUUUUAGGAAAUCAUGACUUUUUUUGUUUGAAAAAUGAAAUAUUUUUUGAAAUUGUGACAAAAUUUCGAAACUACGAUUAUUUCUGAAUUUUUCUCAAACAUUUUUUAGAUUGUGAAAAAAUGAGAACAUUUUUUCAAUUAAUGGAUAAUAUUUGAAAAUUUUAAACGCCUUUGAAAAGAAAAACGAAAAGGAAAAAGGAAUUUUUUAAGAAAAACAAAGAAAACGAAAAAAGGAAAAGAAAAAGAAAAAGGAAAGGGUAAAACGAAUGAAAAGAAAAUAAUGGAAAGAGAAAGGGAAAAAACAAAAAAAAAA
Molecule: long non-coding RNA, 44444 nt
Filed under: Triticum aestivum (bread wheat)
Lineage: Eukaryota; Viridiplantae; Streptophyta; Magnoliopsida; Poales; Poaceae
Description: long non-coding RNA (TAES_LNC013226)
Source: RNAcentral